CGAAGACAGGUUUGAGCUAUAUGUUCUAUGCAGAAAACAAGGUGAAAAACCAGCAGAUAAUCAAGCUAAGAGGACAAAUUGGAGGCUUGCAUUCAGAAAGCCUAGUGCGCCUGCUCUUCUUGAUUAUGUUAACAUCAGUCCAUUUUCCCUUCCAGCAAGAAGGACGAAGGAAUUAAGAGCUUUAACUGGAUGGUAUGCCCGAGCCUCUUCCGAUCUAUGCUAUUUGUUUCAUUAAAAGUUUGAAAUAUUUUACAUGCGACCUGGAUUGUGAAUUUUCAAGUACCUCAUUAACUUAUUUCAGUUAUCCUGAAAGAACAACUAGGUAGUAUUAGUCUUGCGAAACUACAGAAGCACCGUAGUUAAGAAAAGGAAAAGAUGAGAUCUUUAGAGUAAUGCCACGUAUCUAUUUUGUGUUACAAAAAGGUAUUGUACUUGCGACUAAACUUUCAGAUAGACAUUCACAGUGAGAUAACUGGAUUAAUUUGUCAUUUGUAUUAUACCAGAACUAAGAAAAAUAACAUUGUACUCCUCUUCAACUGCAGGAGGUAUUACAUCAGCCUGUUCUUAGAGUUGUCAGAUAUUGCAAUGCCUUUCGUAAGGGCUGCUGUCAGCAAAGUGAGCGCAGCAGUGUCCUACUUCUGGGUCUCCAUGAUUGGAAGAUCAUUGGGACUGAUUUUCUCAGGGAUUAGACAGUCACUUGGCUGGAUAUGAGCUUAUACCUGUUUUGACUGUGACUUUUCUUUUUCCCCGGCACUCUGGUGAUACUGAAUGAUCGACUGUUGACUCCUGUAAUCUCGAUUCAGUUUUGUGACUGUUAGACUAUGCAUUGGAUAUCUUUAUUGCCCUGAUAAGGCCAUCAUUUUAUCCUCUUUGUUUCUUGUGUGUUUGCAUUGUAAACAAAGAUUGAAGGAUGAUAUGAAAAACCUGAAAAUUGCUGGAAUUCAUUGAAGCCCUAUGCUUGUAGUGAUGAAUCACACUAAUGUGGAGGAACGGUUCCACGUUGCUGCUACGAAUAGAUAUAUAUAGCGGAAGUAUUGGAGGAACCUUUCCAGUGUGAUAAUAGGUAGAAACAGCACGAAGUGUUGAAGGAAGUACUUCAACGUGCUGAGCUUGAUAUCGUUCUAGAGAUGAAGAUAGACCAAAAGGUUGAAUCCAAAUCCACGGAUACCAAGAGCUAAAGCUCUUAAGGUACACGAUCUAGUCCAAAAUCUAAAGGUUAGAGCAACAUGUUCUAUUCAUAAGGUGUUCUAUUCGUAAGGUAGUGGGUACAUCAAAAUCAUCUUACAAACUUGAGGCUUGCUUCUGUUUAUAGGCUCGUAAGCCUGACACAACUCACACACAACUAUUAUGGCAACUCGCAUAUAACAACUAGGUAACAACUCAUGUUAUAGCUAAUAGACAAGCUUCAAGAUACUUUUUAAUCUCAUUAGUGUAGUAGUAUUGUAGUAGUACAACCAAAUUUGCAACUAAUUUUUGAAGUGUCUAAAGAUGGGUGUAUCUUUUCAUAGUAGAAGAGUGGGACUUGACUUCAAACUCUUGAUAGCAAAAUUCAGUUUGGAUUUUGACGCACUUGAAUGCUCAUGAACCAUUUGGCUAUGUCUUUUGUUGAUAAAGGACUUCAUUCCAAAUUAGAAGCAAUGUACAUGAGAGAGGGUCAAAAGACCCCAGUCUACAGAUGGAGAGCCGAAAGGAUCGGGCAAUCCUGAUCAUGAUAAGAGUUUGUACAAACAGAAGUAAGCACCCUAUCAGAGGAUACAGUUCUGGCUCGAACAGCUAAACAAUGAGCUGCCUCAUUUUGAGAUCUUGAGAUUUUGAUCACUUGCACCUCAUCUUGUAAUCUCAGUUCCUGAAACUGAGAGAUCCAUGGGCGAAGUUGCCGAGGUGACUGUAAAGGAGCCUUGAGAAGAUAUCUGACCGCCAAGAGGCAGUCAGAACCAAGACCGCCAGCAUUGACCUGUAAAAUAGAAAAGAUUUUACCCGCCAGAAGAAGGGCUGCAAGUUCAGCCAUCACCACAGACUCCACUCUGGCUAAUCCAAGCACCUGCAGGCGACAAGAGAGGAUAGUGGAUCUGAGAUCGACCACUAAUCCCAGUACUGCAGUUCUGGAGGCACUUCCUGGUCCAUCUGGAUCUAGAGCUGCAUCUGCAUAUGCAAAAACAAAUGGCUGCCAAGCUUGGCUGGAAUGUAAAUCCUGCAUCACCAAUAAGGAAGGAACAACAGCAGGAAAAGAAGUAUUGAUGGCAUUGGCAACAACAUUAUUUGAAGUCCUAUUCCUAUUAGAAAUAGAGAUUGAGGUACCACAACCUGGUGAAGAUAUCUUCCAAAAGAUCAUCUGAAACACAGUUUGAAAGGAUUAAAGAUAAAGUGCUUUGAAGGCCAUCAUAUUCCAGAGGAAGCCGAUCAGUCCUCAAAGGAACCCCUGCAGAAAACCAGACAGCUCUGGCAAACUCACAUUCAAAGAACAGGUGGAACUCAGUUUCAUCAGCACCACACAAUUUGCAAGUGUUUUCUAUUCUCGAACUAAAGGAAGCAGCUCGAUGACCAGUGGCAAGAGAGUGUCUAAUAGUCCUCAAGCAAAAGCUUUAAUGCGAGGAGGAAUGGUUUUAUGUUGCCAAAUUCUGUUAAGAAUGGAAAGAGCAUCAGAGGAGAUAGCUCUUGGUCCUUGGUUCGGUAGGGAGUGAGUGGUUUGAGCUGAAAGGUAUUUGUAAGCUUCUUUAGUUGAGCAGAUACCAUGGAUAGAAGGUUUCCAACACAAGCAAUCUAUACAGGUAGAAGAAACUUUAGGAAUCUGAAGGAUGGAAUCAGCAAUUUGAUGGUGGAAAGUAGAAUUGACAAGAUUAGCAUUCCAAGAGACUGCUGCUGAUUCCAUAAAUCUGACAUUAAGUUGGGAAGCUGCCUAUGAACAUGAGGGUCUUUAAGGUGGGUGUAUAUAGUUUCCCAAUUAUCAAACCAGGGAUCAGUCCAGAUAUUAGAGUUACCUUUAUGAAUCUGCACCACGCACUGUUGAUGAAGGUGAUGCUUUACCUGCAAAAUAGAAGACCAGAAAGCAGACCUAGUGCCAUGACAAGUAGCUCUCCAAAAGCUAGUGUUAGGAAAAUAUUUGGCUUUUAUAACUGAUGAAAGUAAAGGAUCAGUAUUAGAAGCAAUUAACCAGGCAGAAUGUGACACUAGGCUUUUGUUAACAGUGUAAAGAUUUCUAAUUCCAAGCCCACCCACUGACUUUGGUUGACAAAUAUCAUCCCAAGACCUGAAAUAAAAAGGUUUCGAAGAAUCCUCACCUUGAACUCCUUGCCACCAGAAACGUCUCAGGAUUGAAUUAAUCUUCUCAGUGAAUGAUCUGGAGAACAAAAUAUUCUGCAUAUAGUAGAUAGGAAUAGAAGCCAGCACCGAAUUAAUAUAAGUGAUCCUCCCUGCAUGAUUAAGCUUGUUGGCCUUGAUACCAGUUAACUUGGCCCUGAACUUAGUAAGGAUAAAACCGUAGGCUUGCGUUCUAUCUUUAUAGGAGAAAAUGAUAGGAUGACCAAGAUGAGUGGUUUGAGAGGUCAUCAAAGAAACAGGGAAAAGAUUCUGUAUCUCCUGUUUAGUUUAGACAUCAACAUGAGAAUGGAGGAUUUGGCCCAAUUAGGAGUUUGACCAGAAGCUUGACAAAAUCGACUGAGAAUUUCCUUAAUUUGACAGGCUUCAGCAGCAGUAGCCUUACCACAGAUAAGAAGGUCAUCAGCAAACAAGAAGGAAUGUAUGGGAGGACAAUUAUGACCAAGCGAAAUCCCAGAGAGAUGGUUACUUUGUAAAGCAAUUUGUGAAGUGUGGGAAAGCUCAUUCAUUGCCAGAACAAAAGAUAAGGAGAUAAAGGGCAGCCCUGUCUAAUCCCCCUUUGAGAAAGAAAGGAAGGAGAAGAUUGACCAUUCACAAGAACAGAGAAAUCAGUAGUGGAAAUACAAGCACUUAUUAAAUUUACAAUAUGAGUAGGUAAACCAAUUCUAAGCAUGGCAUUUGUAAUAAAGUUCCAUUCUAUUCUAUCAAAAGCCUUAGCUAGAUCAAUCUUGAGAAGAAAGCAUUUAUGUUUCCAAGAAGUGAGACCAAAGGAGUGAGUGAUUUCCUGGGCUAUAAUGAUAUUAGAUGAGAUAUGUCUACCAGGAAUAAAAGCAGCCUGAGAAGCAUGAAUUUUAUUAGGAAGGAAAGGCUUGAUUCUAUCAGCUAAACUCUUAGCAAUUAUCUUAUAAAUAACAUUGCAAAGGCUAAUAGGUCUAAAAUCCUGAGGAAGCACAGGUGCAUUUUUCUUGGGGAUUAAGACAACGAAAGUUUUAUUUAAAUCAGGAGGAAGAAUACCUGUGCUAUAAAAAUUUUGAACCAGUUGUACUACAUCAUCACCAAGCCAGUCCCAUGAAGCUCUAUAAAAAGCCGCAUCGAAGCCAUCUGGACCAGGGGCUGCAUCCUUUCUCAUGUUCUUGAUUAUUGCCCAUAACUCAGCUUUAUCUGGAACAGAUCUUGUGAAUUCACUGUUUAAAUCCUCAUCUCCCCUAUUCUGUUGAGGCAAGUAAUGGAACUGCUGAUGUUGAACCUGACUUGUGAACAGCUUUGUGAAGUAACUGUUGAAACAAGAAGCUAUCUGGUCUUGAGUUGUGAGAGGGUUGCCAAGUUUGUCUGUGAGAAAAAGAAUCCUAUUCCUUCUGGCCCUCUUAAGGAUGGACUGCUGAAAGAAGUGUGUAUUUCUAUCUCCCUCAGUAACCCAUAGCUUCUUAUAUCUCUGUUUAUGAAAUUCUGCUUGUUUAUCAAGGAUCACCUGAUGCUGUUGAAUUAAAUCUCUCUGUAGGGUGUUGUUCUGAAGGUUUGGAUGGAGGCUCUGCAGUUUAAGAAUGCUAUCUUCUAUUGCUUGUAACUGAGAGUUGAGGUUAGGUUUCUUUUUUCUCCAUUUUUGUAAGUCUGAAGACAAGAACUUUGUUUUAAGGUGAAAUGGGCGUGAGGAGGACUUUUCCCAGACAGUAAUAGCUUCCUUCUGAAAAUCCUCUUCCAUUAACCACCAAUUCUCAAACCUAAACAUCUAUCCAAAAAGUGCAGGGCUCAACUCAACCUAAAAGUCCUCUUCCAUUGGUAGAUGGAAAAUAGCCGUUGAUGGAAACGCUGCACACCAUUCUGCAUUACCUAAACAUCUAUCCAAGCGCUCAAAAGUGGGAUUAGCAUUAAACCCAAAUCCAUGAAACCACAUUCUUUAACUAGAUGACAGAAAUUAGACAUACGAGUAAUAUUAACAGGUCUAGGACCUAGCUUUUCAUUAACAUGCAUCACAUUAUUAAGAUCCCACAUACAGAAAGCAGGAACAUUUGGAUAAUUUACAACAAAAGCAUGGAUCUCCUGCCAGAUAGACUCAGUUCUUUUGUGAUAGGGAUCACCAUAAACAAAAGCUAGGAUAAACUUCUGAGCACUUGGCUUAUAUUCACAACUAGCUAAGAUAACAUUAGCUCUAGACUGUUCUACUUGCAGGGACACAUCUUGUUUCCAAAGCAGCCAAAGGCCUCCUGCAAGGCCUUCAGCUGGAACAAUGUGAGCAUCAUGAACAGCAAAUUUGUUAACAACAGAAGAUUUUCUGAAUUUCUUAUUCCUAGUCUCUGAAAUAAAAAUUACCUGCGCUUUAGUAGACACCACCAGUCUGGAGAGAUGAUUCAUUUUAGAGCUGCAGAGACUCCCUCCAGUGCCUCUGCAGUUCCAGGAUAGAAGAUUCAUGGUGCCCGUGGCACCUUUAAGGCUGGUGCCAAAGCCUCUUGAGAAGCCGAGUCAUUGCAAGCCAAAUGGUGUCCAGUUGCUCUUGCCUCAUUCACAGGCGGCAGGAUAUUCUUAACAUCCAGAGCAGGAUGCAAUAGAAGUGCAGGGCUCAACUGAACUGGCUUAUUGGUACUGAUGGAGCCUUUCUCACCCUUAGUAAAAAAUUGAUGAAACUGCGUGAUUAAAGGGGAGACCUGCUGAACUUCUUGGACUUCAAACACAUCUUCUGGAACAGCUGUGGCUCUAGUCAUCCAAGAACCGAAGACUUCAAAAGGAACAGGUUCAGGAUAAUUCUGAGCAGACUCAAUGCAUAUUUUGCAUUGUCUGAUAGAGCAAUCUUUGACAUGGUGAACGAAACCCACACAGGAGGUACAUAUUCUGAAGAUCUUCUCAUAAUGAACAUAAAUAAUAGCAGAGCUAUCUUCUCCAAGUUUGAGUCUGAUUUUGUCAACUGCUCUAUGGUUGAUAUUUAUCUUAGCUCUACCAGCCACACAUCUUUCAUCACUAAGCAUAAAACUAGCAGUCAUAGGUUCAAGAUCUGAAGGAAAACCAACAUUCCUAAUUAACUGAUCUACCAAAACCAGAGUUCUGAGAUAAGGAGGAACCCCAAAAAACUUGAUUGUGACAUACAUGGAAUCAAAUCGAUACUAAGGUAACUCUUUGUGCGGAUCUACCCAUUCCAAAAGCAAAUUAUCUCUACCUACAUGCCAAGGCUGUCUGGUCCAAACAAAUCUCAUGUCACUAAGACUACGGAACUUGACCAAAAAUAUAUUGCGAAUCACCUGAGAGAUCUGAUGAGGGUUGCGUGACCAAGCAUUGGCCAUGUCUUCUUGAAUAGGUUGCAGACAAACUUCCUUAGCUAAACCAUCCGGAUCAGCCACCUGCUGAGGAGUAUCUGGCGGCGGAUGUGGAGGAACAGGUGGUGGAUCAGGAGGCGAGUCGUCGGAGUAACCGAGAAGGGGCUCGUUGGACGGCUAUUUUUGCAAAACCCGGUUUGAGAGGGAGAAAUAGCGCCCCUCCGAAAACCAAUCUUAGAAUUUCAUCUACAUUUUAACCAUUGGAGAGAAGAUUUUAUCACACAUUCGCCAUUUUUGCAUCCGUGGAGCGCCAUGUCACGUAUACAUGCUGGAUGGGGUAUACGAAAAGACCCGGCUGCCCCUAGCCUUAUCCUUUAGACCACCCGACUGCCGGUCUCUGUCCCAACCGAGCCAAACCAUCCAUUCGAGCCAGACCAACCAUUCCCCGCCUGCUCGAACCCGAGGGAGUAGCGGCGGUGUAGGCGGAGACAGUGGCGAAGGCAGUGACUGCGGUGUCGGCUUCAACGGCAACGGCAAUGUCGCGUGCUACAAAGUCUUCCGACGGAUUGAGGGGAUGGGAAGGGGUUAGGGAAGAAACAAGCCUUCCCUUGGUCCAGUGCCCAUACUGCGGGAAGGCUAGGGUGUUCGAACGACGGUCGAAGAAGGACAACAUCAACCAUGGCCGCUGUGUUCUUCAAAUGCCCAAGGGUGUAGGUUGAGUGAGAUAGUUUGUUGCUCUCAUGCUAUAUUUGGGGUUCGUUGUUCUUGACUUGAUGCGGUUUUUGUCUACAGAUACUAGAAAAGUGUGACUACUACCGGUGGCAGAGGAAGUAUCUGAAUGAUUUGGUUGACGCCAAAGUGGUUAAGGUGUUUUAUCAUGAACAUGAGCAUGAAAUCGAAGAAGAGGACCAAUAUGUGGACUUCCAGCCUGUGUUGUUGGCAUAAGAACGGGUUCCUGGCAAAGUGCAGAAGCAAGAUAUGAAAGCAAAGUUGGACAAAUUAAUGAAGCUUGUGUUUGUGUUGUGUAUGCUAUUUGUAGCCAUUGUUGGCAUGUUCCUUGGCCAUGUGUUGAAGUAGAAAAUAUGUGUUGUAGUACAUUGGCCAAGGGACAUAUUUGACGAAUGAAUGGUAGUAUUUGAUGAAUGAACAAUGCAUAUUGUGUGAUGACUGAAUGAGUUCAAACUGACGUAACUUUUUCAAUAGCGACAUAGUUCAACUUGACAGACAUAGUUCAACCAAAACAUAGUUCAAUUUGACGGACAUAGUUCAACCACAAUAUAGUUCAAACUGACAGAUAUAGUUCAAACUAACACACAUAGUUCAAACUGUCACACAUAGUUCAACCACAACACAUAGUUCUAAUUGACACACAUUACUUCUUAGUUGCCCCUCUCUUUCUUGGACUAAUUUUCUUUGCUACAGAAGGUUUCAAGACCUUGGACGCCAGCUUUUUCUUUGGAGUCAUCUUCUUUUCUGGAAUUGUCUCUAAAGAUGUUGGCAUUGUCUCGAUCAAACUGACAGACAUAAUUCAAACUAACACACAUAGUUCAAACUGACACACAUAGUUCAACCACAACACAUAGUUCUAACUGACACACAUCACUUCUUAGUUGCCCCUCUCUUUCUUGGACUAAUUUUGUUUUCUACAGAAGGUUUCAAGACCGUGGACGCCAGUUUCUUCUUUGGAGUCAUCUUCUUUACUGGAAUUGUCUCUAAAGGUGUUGGCAUUGUCUCUAAAGGCUCCAAAUCAGUUAUGGGCACAAUUCCAAUGGUCCUUCAAAAUCAAGCCUCCUGUACAAAUUCAGAGUGAUGUUAGUUAUUUGUUCACAUAGGAAAUGCAGUAAAAUGGGGAUCAUACCUCUUGGGUGGAGCUUCAGGUUCUGAUUUUGUUGCUUCACUUGCUUCAAUUGUAGUUGCUGGACUUGUUAGUUCACCUGCUGCUUCUUGGCUUGCUGCUUCCAUACCUGAUGCUUGGCUUGCUGCUGCUUCCUUAUUUGCUGCUGCUUCCCUUGCUUCUGCUUCCCUUGUUGCUGCUUCCCUUGCCACUGCUGCUCUUGUCCUUGGUGUUGUAGCCUGCACUGUCUCAGUUGUCUUUGAUUUCUUUCUCCCAACCUUGGUCUUUGUCUUCUUGGAUCUCUUCCUUUUCUUGGUUCCUGUCAGUUCACACCUUCAACUCCCCUUCUUGUGACCAAGUUGACCACAACCAUCACAUUUUGUUUGCCUUGUAGCCUUUCCUGACCUCUCCAAGCAAGAAGGUAUCCUGUUCUUUCUCUGCCUUCCCAGACCUCUUUUCUUGGCAUCUGGUGGAUAUAGCUUGAAGCCCUUAUCAACUUGUGACCACUGACUCCUAUCUGUUAUGUUAGGCCAUCCAAUGUCAUAUGCCUAUCUGAACCUUUGCACUGAAUAAGCCAUGUCCACAUACUUGUCCUACACUGGUUGCCUCCCUGUAGUGAUGACAGCCAAAGCAUGUGGGUAAGGCUUUCCUGUUACUUGCCACUGUCUACAUGUGCAAUUAUUCUCAUCUAGACAGACCACAUGUCUUCUGACAUCCUCAUCCUUGUAAAUCUCUGUUACCUUAGUUUGUUUAGGUCUGCCCUUAGUGACUUUAAGGUGUCCUAACCCCUUUGUGGCUGCAUUUAGCUGAUGAAUCAUAGCUAACAGUAUGACUCCAUGCAAAGGUCUAGAUAUCCUUCUCCUUUUCUCAAACAUGACCACACCCUUCUCCCUUAUAGCAUCAACCAUACAAUGCAAUGGCAGGUCCUUGAACUCCUUUAUCCAUGCAUUCCAUGACUUAGCCAAGUUGUUGUUGAUGUAGUCACACUUUAUAUUUGUAGGAAGAAUAGAAUUGGAUAUAAUAGAUUGAUUGUAUUGCAUUGAGGCCUCGGACGAUUUAUAUUGAGUACAGGACUUAGAGGGCAAGGCUCCCCCGGAUAUAUAUAUGGCAGUCUAUGAUACAUAUAUCUACAACUACCAAAUAUACUCUAACAUUCCCCGCAGUCACAGUAGGAGCACCGCAGAUGAUGAGACUGGAGAAGAAGCCGAAGGCAAAAAGCUGAUGGACUGACAUCUCCUCGCAGUGAUAAUGUCGGUGUGGUGCGGAUGCUGUGACUAGACAGAACACCGGCGAGUAACUCAUGCAGAUGAUAGCCCUUUGUGCCGAUGUCAAGGUAGCCAACCAGGAGGAUGAGUAGCCGUGGUCGAGGAUGCCGUGCAUAGAGUAGCCGUGGUCGACGUAACAGUUUAAGUUGCCGAAAACGAGGGAGCCGUACAUGAAGCCGCGGGCACAUGAGGAUGCGCCGAGAGAAUGGUGGCGCAUAAAGGAAGACACCAAAGACGAAGACGGUGACGCGUCGAGGCAAUUGUAGAGGGGGAGAGGGAUUCAAUGCUGAAGUUGAUGCAGCCAGGCUGACGUAGAUGACAGAGUUGGCAUCCCAGAGCACCGCUGGAUGGCCCUAGUCAUAGACCGAGUGAUAGGGCGCGGAGGAGCAGGAGGUGGCGACGAGGAGCAGGAGGCGCGGUCGGGGCGCUCGCUGGCCCGGUCGGGGAUGAUGGCACGCACCAGUGUUGCCAAUACUAGACAUGCGAGGUAGAGGGCACCAACCAUGUGUUAGCAUCUAAGGAACUAGCAGAGAAGGCCUCCAAGGUGGUCGCAGGCGCAGAAGAACGGCGAGGUAGAAGAUUCCGAUGCAGCCCGUGGUUGCUGGAGUAGACAAACGAGAUGGAGAUUAGACUGCGACGCUGGUGACGAGGUGGUGCUAGACGAAGCGAGGAGGUAGACCCGGACAAUCUGACGCAAGACCUGAUGAUCUGGAUGACGCGGCGGUGGAGCUCGAAGGAGACGGGGAAGAACUCGAACAACCUAAUAAAGACCAUGCAUGCAAGGUGCAGCGACUCGUAGUCGAUGAUGAGGUCGUUGAUGUGGUUGGCGGCAGUGAGGAUGCAACGCUGAAGGAGACCACGUUUGGGCCACUACUGCCCGAAGAGGCGAUGCAGUGGUAGCCCUCCAUACUCGGGCAAGAGGUGCGCAAUAUGAGGACGAACAUCACGGGAGUUGGGUGAAUCACGCACAUCGGCUGAUUAGAUCAAGUAUGCGCAAGGCGAGACGACGAUAGACAAAGUCGGCGGAGGUGUCCCGAUCAGUGGAGGCGAUGAUGAGCCGGUGGAGGUCGACAUGCGGAUGAAGUAGCGAGGAGAACGGUGCACAUGGGCGUCCCCUAGGACGUCAUCCAUCUCACCAAGCCGCAUAGUCGGAGACGGGGACGGAGCUGGUGAAGUCGACGCUGGUGUCGAAGUAGAGGCAACAGGACGACGGGCGGUGGGUGAUACAAUCCCGAUCUAUAAUCAAGCAAAAGAAAAAAUAAGAUACAGCAAGAGCAUCUCAUGUAGAACCUUCAGGUGCAUGUAGGCAGAAAAGAUGGAGUGGAGCAAGAAAAUCUCAUGCCAAGGGAUGGUGGCGCAAGGUGGUAGUGAGCGCGACGCAGGGGAUGUGCAGCCGAGGGCGACGACGCGAGGAGCAGAGGCGCGCGGCCGGGGGCGGUGGCGCGAGGAGCAGAGGCGUGAGAAGCAGAGGCGUGUGGCUGAGAUUGGUGGCACGAGGAGCAGAGGCGCAAGAAGCAGAGGCGCUCGGCUGAGGGCGGCGGCGCGAGGAGCAGAGGCGCGCGGCCGAAGGCGGCAGCGACGAGGAGGGAGGACGACACCCGGGUGAGUUUCUUCACGAUCUGAUCUUGCUUGACAACAGAGGGCGGCGGAUUAACAGGAUCCGUCGCGGAGACUGUGGGCGCUGCCCCCAGCGGAUGUCAUGGGCAACCUCCCCGGGAGCGCGCUAGGAGGCCAUCGAGGGGGCGCGCUGGAUGCGCACUGUGAAGGAUGGCCGGCUGCGCGCGGGAGGUAGGGAGGACGUACGGAAGCGGAAGGUUUGGCCUAAGAUCUAAAACCCUAAACUCGUGAUACCAUGUAGGAAGAAUAGAAUUAGGUAUAAUAGAUAGAAAGUAUUGCAUUGAAGCCUUUACCGGUUUAUAUUGAGUACAAGUGUUGACGCUAGAUUUCGACACGUAUGGAAUCGGCGUCAAGGAAGGAGAAGACUGGCUGAUGCGGCAGAUUGGAAGGCUGGAGCGAUUGGGCCAAUAUGGGCUUAAAGUGGAUCAGAGGAAGAAGAUAGAUAUUGGCCCGCGGGAGUAUAGUAACCAACUCCGAUACGAGUUGUGUUUGUAAAUAUUCGUUUUCGUUUAAAAUUAGAGAUAGAUCCUAGUCGGUUAAGAAAUUGGUUGUAACAGGCUAUAAAUAGCCAUCGUUAGAGAUUUGUAAAAGAACACAUCAAUCAAUACAACAAUCUACUAUUUCCUCGUACUUUACCUUCAAGUCGGCGACUUCGCCAAUACUUUUCAGUCGUACCAGGAGCGGGGAGACCGUCAAGAAAGCUCCUUUCCCAACUCCCCACCAGAUCACCAUCGCUGAAGACUCGGGCAAGAUGUCCGAUAUGGUUCAGCAGUCUGUCUACCAGGCCUUCAUCGAUCAGUCCCCGGUGAUGGCUAACACGGUAUACAAUGCCGUCAUCAGCUCCCUGGCCAAUGGCGUAUCUCAAGGGUAUCAGGGGCCAGCAUACGCCCCGCCCAUUACGGCCCCAAUCAGGAGCUUUCCAAACACAUCUCACUCGGCUCCUCAGCCGAUGCCAACUCAACAUGGAAUGCAUUUAGGAUACAAUGGUGCGCCAUGGUUUCAAUCACAAGCACCGCCGCAACCUGCUCAAGUUUCCUCCAUGCAAUCAUUGCCAUCAAACUCAGCGCCUUGGGGGGCACCAUCGACAUCGGCCGUUCCGGAUCAAUCGGUUGGCUAUGGAGGCUCUCCAAUCCAGGCACCAUUCCAAUCAGCCGCCCGGCCGACGGUUCCACAAUAUCAACCUGCCACGUCAGAAAUCGGCAGGGGGGGCAGAUGCUGCUGAGACGCUCCGAGGCGCGGCGCCGAUGAUACUGUAUGAUGAGACGGCCGGUCCGCUGUGCCACUAGAUGCCAACCGCUCAGCCGGCCACGUUACCGCAGAAUCCGCCACACGCCUUGAUUCAUCACCCGGUCAUCCCACCACCGAUCCACCAACAUGUGCCAAUUCCUCAACAAGUAAUUCAUCAGCAGCAAGUGGACUAGAUGGCAAGGAUAGCGGAAGUGAUUCAAGAUCAGUUCGGGUUGAAGCCGAAGGUACAAACCUACACGUACAGGACGCCAUACCCGCCUGCCUACGAUCUACUACCGUUUUCCCAUUGGUACAAAGUUCCCGACUUCACCAAGUUUUCGGGGCUAGAUGACACUUCAACUGUGGAGCACGUAAACAGAUUCAUCAUCUAAUGUCGAGAGAUGGCUGCGCAGGUGCUCUACGGGUGCGUUUGUUCUCGUCAUCCCUAUCCGAGUCGGCUUUCCAAUGGUUCACUACGCUACCGCCCAAUUCCAUAGUCACUUGGGCCGACAUGGAGAAACAGUUCCAUAAAUACUUCUACGCGGGAGUCCAUGAGAUGAAGCUCUCAGAUCGGACCAGUCUCAAGCAAAGGAGCGAUGAGCCAGUGUCCAAUUAUGUGCAGAGGUUCAGGGAGGUCAGAAACAAGUGCUACACCCUAGUCCUGACCGACGCGCAGCUGGCCGGUAUUGCCUUCCAAGGCCUCCUGCCGCACAUCAAAGAGAAGUACGCUUCCCAGGAGUUCAAGAGCCUGAGUCAAAUCGUUCACCGAUUGGCCGGACAAGAAGUACGCCCUUUUGAUCAGCGGAGAAAUUUUCAGAAGAAGGUGGCGUACUUAGAGGGAUCUGAAUCUGAGGAGGAAGCGGAAAUCAGCCUAGCAGAGUGGGUUAAAGGAAAGAAGCCAAUAUCGUGUCCUUUCGGGAAAAAGGAACAAGAGGGGUUCGGUUUUGACACGUCAAAGGCCGACAAAAUUUUCGACCUACUUCUCCAAGACGGGCAGAUCAAACUAUCACCCUAUCAUACGAUCCCAUCGGUCGAGCAGCUGAAAAAGAUGAAGUAUUGCAAAUGGCACAAUGCCACGUCCCACAACACAAACGAGUGCAAGAUCUUCCGUUAGUAGAUACAAUCGGCCAUCAAGCAAGGUAGGCUCAAGUUCGAGGUCCCGACAAAGCCAGCAAAGCCGAUGAAGAUUGAUCAGCAUCCUUUUCCCACUAACAUGGUUGAUACGGGAAGGAACGCGCUUCAAACCAAGGUGCUGACGUCGGAAUCGGCUAAAAAGAGUGGCGCUGUGGACCCCAGAAAUCAGGCUUCUAUGGAAGAUGUCAAGGGGAAGCGACGGGUUGACGAUGAGGGUGAAGGAUUGGAAAGGCCGCGCAGACCUAUUACUUCCCAAUUUCUGCUCGACAAAUAUCAGCAGCAACAGGAAAGUUUGAGAUAUCACUAAGGAAUGAUACGACGACACGAAGAUCAUUAGUGAUGCCCGUUCUUCAUCCAUUGCUAGGAAAAUAACCUCAGAUUGCCAUCGGCCAAUAAUUGCCCGGAGUGCAGCGGUCCAUAUCGCAAUAAUUGCCCGUUCAGGAGGUCUCGCUCCAGGGAUAGAGGAUCAGAGCCAAUCAGUAGAAACUGGCGCGAGCAAGAGGAUCGGCGCCUUUCAGUGCGUGAUCGGCUGGGGGGCAGAGUUGUCCGAUAUGAUCGGCCAAGGGAUAGACGCGAGCAAUAUGAUAGGCCGGGGGCAGAUCUGACCAACAUGACCAACCAGGUGGCAGAGUCAGCGCACACGAUCAGUAAGAAGAGAUGGCCGAUGCUCGGGUGUCAGAUGAAAACCCCCUGGGACGGGAACCAGACUGGGAACGCGCGAGACCGCCGGCCAAACCGGUGAACCCCAAGUGGUGCAAUGACGGAUUUACCAAAUCCCAACAGCGAAGAAUCCAAUGCCUGCGCCAAUGGGAACAAUAGGAAGAGGAGCAGACGCAGAUGGUGGGAAAGAAGGAUAGGUCUCAAGUCUGGCGCCCCAAAAGAAACAACAAUGAGGAAGAUGCCAGCCAGGAAUCGGCAGCUGACGUCAGCAUGGUGUUCAUCUUGCCGAUGGAGUUCAUGGCUCCCGCCGAUCGAUAUGACACGACAAAGAUGGAGGAACAGAUGGCGCAAUUGGCUUUGGAGCCGUUGACAGCCACUUUUGAGAAACCCGAAGAUGAAAAAUGACAACACCUUAAGGCACCGUUCCUCAAAGGGCACGUCAACGGUCGACCCGUCACCAGGCUACUAGUAGAUGGAGGCGCUGUAGUCAAUAUCAUGCCGUACGCCAUGUUCCAAAAGCUGGGUAAAAGCGACGAGGAUCUAACCAAGACGGACAUGAUGCUCAAGGACUUCGAAGGCAACGUAUCUCCCGCACGUGGAGCGCUUUGUAUCGACCUCACCAUCGGCAAUAAGACCCUUCCCACUACCUUCUUUAUUAUUAAUGGCAAAGGAUCCAACAAUAUGUUGCUCGGUCGCGAUUGGAUACACGCAAAUUGCUACGUCCCGUCUACAAUGCAUCAAUGCCUCGUACAAUGGGUCGGUGACAACAUCGAGAUAGUCACCGCCGAUUCCGCCUAUAGUGUUGCUGCGGCCGAUACGCAACAGUGGAGCUGCGAACACGUCAAGUGCAUUUCCGGAAGAACUUGGGACACCGAUUUCCUGAAAGUGUUCGAUUUUGGCCUACAGCCGAUCCGAGCAGUCGGCUCUGAAGAUUCAGAUUAGAUUGAUAAGUUCGUCCGAGAAGAUGGGAAGUUGGGGCACGGGUUUAUGUCGGCCGAUUCAUUAGAGAUGAUAGAUCUAAGUGAUGGCACCAGACCGAGGCCGACGUACAUUAGUGCUAACUUGGAUCCAGAAUAUAAGUGUAAAUUGACAAAUUUAUUGAAAGAAUUUAAAGAUUGUUUUGCUUAGGAAUAUCAUGAGAUGCCUGGUUUAGACCGGUCUAUUGUUGAACACCGGUUGCCUAUAAAGCCGGGAUAUCGGCCAUAUCAGCAGCCCGCACGACGAUACAAUCCUAAAAUUCUACCUGACAUAAAGGCCAAAAUUACAAGACUGAUUGAAGCAAAAUUUAUUCGGCAGUGCCAUUACGCCGAGUGGAUCUCUAACAUUGUACCCGUAUACAACAAAAACGGAAAGCUGCGCGUAUGCAUUGAUUUCAGGAACCUUAAUCAGGCCACGCCGAUGGAUGAAUAUCCAAUGCCAACGGCAGAUGUGUUGAUAGAUGUCGCCACAGGAUAUAAAGUCAUCAGUUUCAUGGAUGGUAAUGCUGGGUACACUCAGAUAUUAAUGGCCGAAGAAGACAUUUCAAAAACGGCUUUCAGGUGUCCUGGCCACCUCGGUUUAUUCGAGUGGGUAGUUAUGACCUUCGGAUUGAAGAACGUCGGCGCUACAUAUCAACGGGCAAUGAAUUACAUCUUCCACAAACUCAUCGGCGUCCUGGUGGAAAUCUACAUCGACGAUGUCGUGGUCAAAUCAAAAGGGCAUCAAGAACAUCUAGUCGAUCUACGAGAAGUGUUGGAAUGCAUGAGGAAGCAUGGGUUGAAAAUGAACCCAAACAAAUGCGCAUUCGGUGUAUCGGCCGGGCAGUUUCUGGGAUUUAUGGUUCACAAGCACGGGAUAGAAGUCAACUGGAAAAUCAUAACAGCCAUCAACAAGGUUGUGGCAGCACAGAACAAAACUGAGUUGCAAUCCCUAAUCGGCAAGGUUAAUUUAUCAGAAGAUUCAUAUCCAACUUGUCAGGGCGCAUUCAAGCCUUCACGCUGUUAUUGAAGUUAAAGCCCAACCAGGAGUUUGUAUGGAGAGAUGAACAAUGGAAAGCACUGGAAGACAUCAAGCGAUAUCUAGUCUCGCCACCUGUGCUGGUCCCACCACAAGCUGACAAGCCGUUCAGAUUGUACUUAUCGGCUGACGAGCGGGCCAUCGGAUCGGCGCUAGUACAGGAGUUCGAAGGAAAGAAACGGGUAAUAUAUUAUGUUAGUAGAAGACUUCUGGACGCGGAAACAAGAUAUUCCCCGGUAGAGCGGCUAUGCCUAUGUCUUUAUUUCUCAUGCACCAAGCUCAGGCACUACCUGUUAUCGGCAGAGUGCAUAGUCGUAUGCAAGGAUGACGUGGUAAAGUAUAUGCUGUCAUUGCCGAUUUUGAAAGGACAAAUUGGAAAGUGGAUCCUGGCUCUGUCAGAGUUUGACCUAAGGUACGAAUUGGCCAAAUCUGUCAAGGGCCAAGUCAUGGCCGAUUUCGUGGCCCAACACUGCGGACCAGAAGUCGCCGUCGUUGAGCCAGCUCCAUGGACUCUAUUCUUUGAUGGUUUGUCAUGUGGUGCCGGAUCAGGAAUCAGCAUCGUUCUCAUAUUGCCUCGGAGGGCAAGCUAUGAUUUCUCUCUGCUGAUAGAAGCUUCCGCGACCAAUAAUUAGGCGGAGUACCGAGCUGUCCUAAAAGGCAUUCAAUUAUUGAGAGAGAUCAAAGCCGACACUGUGGAAAUUUUUGGGGAUUCCAUGCUCAUCGUAGACCAGCUAACGGGAAGAUCAGAAUGUAAAGAUGAUGUCCUGCGGAUUUACCACAGAGAUUAUCUCCAACUUUUAAAAGAGUUCAAGACUGCAGUUAUUAAGCAUAUUCCCAGAGAUUAUAAUGAAGAGGCUAAUAGGCUCGCCCAACACACAUCCGGGUAUCGGCCAAUUCAGAGCGCCAUGAUUCUGGAACUCGCAGCCGACGAUUGGCGAAAGGAGAUCGCUGAUUACUUAAGGGAUCUAUCCAAGAAAGUGGAUCGGCGAGUACGUUUUCAAGCCACAAAGUAUGUGCUACUUGAUGAUGAUUUGUUUUACUAAACGAUUGAUGGAGUUCUGCUUAAAUGCCUGGGGACAGAAGAAGCAAAGAUCCUAAUGGGAGAAAUCCACGAAGGCAUGUGCGGAGCUCACCAAUCAGCUCAUAAAAUGAAGUGGAUGAUUAGGAAUAACGGAUAUUAUUGGCCGACGAUACUCGAAGAAUGCUUGAAAUAUUAUAAAGGUUGUCAAGACUGUCAGAAGUUUGGCAACGUACAACGUGCGCCGGCAUCGGCUAUGAAUCCAAUAAUCAAGCCAUGGCCAUUCAGGGGUUGGGGAAUAGACCUCAUCGGACAGAUUUAUCCUCCAUCAAGUAAGGGGCACAAAUUCAUAUUGGUAGCCACUGACUACUUUACCAAAUGGGUGGAGGCAAUCCCAUUGAAGGCUGUGACAUCGACCGCUAUGGUCGCGUAAGGGACCACAUUGUUUAUCGUUUCGGUAUUCCUCAAACUAUCACAACCGACCAAGGGACGAUGUUCACUUCGGGAGAAUUCGAGGAGUUCACUGCUGAUAUGGGAAUCAAGUUACUGAAUUCUUCUCCAUAUUAUGCUCAAGCUAACGGCCAAGCUGAAUCAUCCAAUAAGGGGAUAAUUAAGUUGAUCAAGAGGAAGAUUGAGAUACAACCUAAGAAGUGGCACUUAUGUCUGAACGAGGCUUUAUGGGCUUACAUGAUGGCCUGCCACGGGGCAACUAAAAUAUCUCUUUAUCAAUUGGUGUAUGGUCACGAGGUAGUGUUGCCUUGAGAAUUAAGGAUAGGGUCAAGAUGCACAUCGCUUCAAGACCAGUUGACGGCCGACGACUAUUCCCACCUCAUGAAAGGAGAGCUCGAUGACUUGGCAGGUCAACGGUUGAGGGCUCUGAUCAGCAUUGAAGAGAAUAAAAAGAGGGUGGCCAGGUGGUACGACAAGAAGGUUAAAGUCAAGCAAUUCUCCCAAGGGGAUUUGGUAUGGAAGUUAGUGCUGCCGAUAGGAUCCAAGGAUCCCAAGUUUGGUAAAUGGUCGCCCACUUGGGAAGGGUCGUAUAAAAUCGGCUGAUGCGCUCUGGGAAACGCAUACAUACUGGAGACGAUCAAAGGAGAAGAAUUCACAAGGGCCUUGAACGGGAGGUACCUAAAGAGAUAUUAUCCUAGUAUAUGGGUCGACGCAUAACUAAGUUACGAAGAGUAUCAAGAUGGCACGGCCAGUUCCUAUUAGAUCUUAUAGCCGAUGCAAAGAUGAAAUCGCCUUGAGAACAAAACAUUCGUUCAAGUUGGCCGAUUUAUUGUUCAGUGUGAACAAUGGGGUACACGGGCGACAUGGUACAAGUCGCCCUUAGAACAAAAGUACCAACACAUCUAUUAACCACGCUUUUUCUUUAGUUCCCUCUCUACCCGACUUAAUUCUAUCAAGAGGCAGGUGCUCCUUUCCUCCAGAUCCUUCAUCGUGGCUUCAGCCUCAACUUGGCACGGAAGAGGAUGGCUCUGAUCUAGCGGUGGUUGAGACGUUCCAACUGAGGCGUCUUCAAGGGUGAUUGGGCGAGGGAGUGGAUGACUCCUUUCGAUUGGUGGCCGCCUGUAGUAGUUGGCGUCGAUGUGGUCCCAGAUCCGCCGUUCAGCGGGGACGUGGUCCCUGAGUUCUUCGCGAUGGGCUCUGAUCAAGUCCUUGUCCUCCUGCGACAACAAUUCAUCGGAGUGCAUGAUCUCGAUUGCUCGUUCCAGUUCGGGACUAAGGCGUCUCGGCUGAAAAUUGACAAGCAACCUCUCGAUGUCAGACUGAUCAAAAUGUCGAAUCAGGGAAUGGAGGGCGAAGGAAGGAUCCAGUACCUGGUUGACGGAGGCGGAGGAGAAGGAAGAAGACGAGGAAUACAUCUUGGUGAACAGUCCGAUGGUAUGAACUACUGGACGAGAAGAGGACGAGCGAGGCGAAUGACUUGGGAAGUAAUACGAGAUCUCGUAUUUAUAGAAAGAAAAGGGGCAAGAGUUUGGUAAGAUGCAUCUCAUCGGAGUAAAAGGGGUAAUAAAUGAAAGUCCGCCACGAAGGACGCAUCAGAGUUGGAUUCAUGCAUCAAACGGUCAAAAGACUUUAAUGUUUUUAUGGAGCGGCCAACACUUUUACAGUUCAUCCAAGGAGGGCAUUAAUGGCCGCAAUCGCUCGUUGCCUAACUUGAUCGGCCGAGUCUAAUAUCCGCUGGUCGUCAUCGGCUGAUCCUGGGACUUCUGGCAUAUGGAGAUGGAGUCUGAUUGCUUCGUGGGCUAGGUUUUGUCUCUCUUGCUUUAGUUCAGUGAUGACAGAGGAAAGGUCUUGGAGUCUCUUCUCUUCAACGGCUAUGUCCUUGGUCACCUGCUCCAUCUCCUUGGCGAGCUCCGCCCUUCGGCGCUUGAGGCGAUCUAUAGCACCAACAAUACCCGGGUGGGAACUUUCAAGAAAGUUGAUCCGGUGAUGUAUGUCUUGGGCUCGAUGCUUGUAAGAGUCUUCCUCCUCAUGAGCUUUAGCUAGCUUGGCGCGAUCGGCCAUGUGACUCAAAGCCCUGAACACUGGGAUCCGCAUUGAUUCAAUGUAUGCGACUGGCACCAAGGCUUCUUCCGCCUCUUCUGGGACUCAGCCACUGAUAUCACUGAAGAGCUGCCGAAUUGGCGAAGCGUCCUCCACCAAUCGACCGAUGUCUUCUUGAAGGAGGGUCCAUAUGCUCUCAAGUUUGGUGCGGACGCCAUCAGGGAUUGAGCUCAGAGUGACCUGACGUGAAGCAACCUCCUCGUCAUCAGAAAGUGCGACCGCGAAGGAGAAGAGACUGUUAUUGGGAGUAUCUUGUUCCUGCAGGAAAGUAAAAUGAUAAGCAUCGAUUAGCCGACGGUAAUAGGAAAAUCGGCCGAUUCGGGUAACAAGUCUCUUACCUCUUUGAAGCGGAUUUCUUCUGUUUGCGUCAACGGGAGUGCCGCCCUUGGUUCAGGAGCUGGUGCGACCGGCUCAUCAGAAGAGGAGGACUCAAUGAUUAUUGGCGUCCUGCUUGGACCGGCCUCCUGGAAAGGUACGAGGAGCAAGUUCUUAUGAGUAUAAUACAAGUGUUUAGAUCUGAUGACAUGUGGUGAUUGCCGUACCUCUGAGGUUUCCUUGGUCGAUGGCUAUUGAGAAGGUACAAUUGAUGUACCAAGGGUAGCCUGCAUCAGAAUCAGUCAAGCUUUUGGUUAAGUAUUAAAAAAUUGAGUGAAGGGAUUCUUUACCUCAGUGGGAGGAUUUACUGGUGCUCCGAUUUCUGCUUGGGGCGUUGGCAAUUGCUGCGGAGGCACCGGGGCAUUUUGGGCAGCCUAAUGUAAAGAAGAAGUCAGUAUAGGAAGAAUACUCAGGAGAAUGUGAACACAAGGUUACCUGAAUUGCUUCUAAUACCAGUGAUGUGGUGGCCGCUCCAGCUUCUGUAGCAGCUUGGGGAUCAACCUCCUCAAUGACCGGGAGGAUCGGCGCAGCCAAAGUUUUCGCUGAUGCCGUCGCAGAUUGAACGGCCGAUUCCGUGCGAGCAUGCACUCGGCGGCUUGUCUUCUUGACAGUUUUCUUCGGCGUUUGCUUUAAUCGGCUGGUGGUGAUAUCAUCAAUGGAUGGGGUGUGGUGGCCGAUGAGUGGGAAUUCCGUAUACGGGUAACGGUUCUCUAUCGGCCUGCCACUCCGGCUGCGUUUUAGGGGGAGUUGACUCCCGGACUAUAAAAGAAAGCAAGAGUUAGCGACAAAUUUGUAGCAUAAGAAGGAAAAUAACAUUAGAACCGGCUGAAGGAAAAGCAGUACCUCUGCACUCGGGUCGAUGUUCUCAGGAUCUAGAUCAUUGCAAUAUGUCGCGGGAGAUACACAAAACAGAUGUUGCUUCCAUUCUGCCCACCAUAAUUUGAAUGGUUGGACAGCAAAAGGAGCUACUAUCCAGUUGUUCAGAUCGAUGGUGCUGGAAUCAGGCACUCGGUCACACAGCCGACUGUAGUCGAGACCCUUGGUGAGCCUAUCUCGGAAUUUCACGCGACCGACGAAAUAGACUCGAAUCGGCAGCUGACCUAGGCCGAACUGCCGUGCCGCAACUGAUGGGUUAUAAAAUUCAUAAGUAGGGGCAUCCUUCCCCGAGAAAAAAUUCGCUGGUAAGAUCCCCGAUUUAAUCAAGACGUCCAUAAGAUCAUUAUUAAAGGUGUUGGACGUCGAAUCGUAACAGAAGGGGAGCUCACUCUGUCCUCUGAUAUGGGUACCAACUGGUGGUUUCCUUACUGAAGCCGUUGUAGAAACAUCUGAAGUACUCGGCUACUUUGGUGGCGGUCAACUGGCAACCAGGGAAGACUGAUGCUGCUUCGCCGAAAGAGGUGCAUCGACGCCGUACGGUGGGGUUUUCUUCCGAUUCAAUGUUGGGGAAGGUCAUGUGCUCCACCCGAUGCUGAGAGAUCUUGCUCAUAUACAAGUUGAGCCAGAGAUUGAUGAACCACCAGGGGCCACCUGGGUUUCCAAUCGGCUCUCCCUUGGAUAGUUUGACACCGAUUUGGUGCAGCAUGUCAUAGGCCGAUCCCAGCAGAUCUUUCCCGAGGGGGACAGAGGCUCCUCUUGAUAAUGCUUUGGCCAAAGCUUGUGUGUUGGAAGACAGACCGACUGCCCUGCCACAGAAAAGAUGUUUCUCCAACCACAUCAUCAGGAAGGCCGCGUAUUCUUUCUCUGAAACAGCCCCGGUCUUCAUUCAUGUUGUUCUUAAUGAACCCCUUCCACCCGCCGAUUGCUUUUGUCUCCAGCCGAUGGGUUGGCUUGACCAAAUAAUGGAAGGGGGUAUCGGGAGAAGAAAUGUCAAGGCUGGUCAACAUUACAACAUCGGCCAAAGUGGGGGUCAUAGGCUCAUGACCGAAAAGGAAAGCAUUGAGGGCGUCGGACCAGAAAUAGGAGGCCGCCAUCACCAAGGGUUCAUUUCUCUCCAUUUGAGACAGAGAGAGAUUGAUGCAUUGGCUGAUUUUUCGUUCGUCCCAUUGAACUCUCUUGGAAUUGGCUAUCCGUUGGUACCAUUCUUUCCAACUGGAGGUUUCAUUCGGCCAAGAUCUAAAGGUGCCUGACCACUGAUCCAAUUCCAUUAGGGAUUGCUUAAAUGGGAUUAUGUGAGUUUCUAAGUUUAUCAGAUUGGUUGGGUCUGGAUUCCCCAUAGGACCUAGAUAGAUGAGGCCGGGGGCUUCGGAAAGGCGAAUGGUGAUUUGGUGUCUAACCACCUAAAAAAGGUAAAAAGGGAAGAACUAAGAAUGGAUCUAAAACAAAUGCCUGGGCGGUAAAGGUGAAAAGAAAAGUUCCGGGUGAAUACCUCCGGGAUGAAAGUCAUCGUCGCUGACGGGGCUGCUGGUGGAGCUACCGCCGCCGAGGCCGCCGGUGGAACCUCUGUCGCCGAUGGAGCUGUUGCCGCCACCGAUGGAGCUGCUGCCGCCGCCAUUAGAGCUGCCGCCGGGGUUUCUGUUGCUGGAGGGGUUGUUGAUGGUGCCACAAUUGGGAAGAUGAAGCGGAAUGCGGAUGAGAAGGAGGUCACCGGAAGGUGUGGUUGGAAACCAAAAGGGCGCCGGAAGAAGAUGGAAACUAGUGCGCCAAGAAAGGAAGUUACUGGCUUGUCAAGAAGAAGUGCGGGCAUGCCAGUAUUUAAAGACCAUUCGAGAAGGGGUAAAGGCAGGAUUUUUACUGCGCCAUCUACACGAAUUUCGGGGGAGUGGUUGUCUCAGGCGCCCGUUUCGAAAGGAUUGCAAUCACCAGGCAGGAGACCGCGAAACGGAAGGAUAUUUUUAAUGCGUUUGUUUCGGAGGAGAAGUUGAAAAGGAAUUUUGAAGUCAAAGCUAUGUUUUACUCCGAAACUGGAGGGCAUGUGUUGACGCCAGAUUUCGACACGUAUGAAAUCGGCGUCAAGGAAAGAGAAGACUGGCUGAUGCGACAGAUUGGAAGGCUGGAGCGAUUGGGCCAAUAUGGGCUUAAAGUGGAUCAGAGGAAGAAGAUAGAGAUUGGCCCGCGGGAGUAUAGUAACCAACUCCGAUACGAGUUGUGUUUAUAAAUAUUCAUUUUCGUUUAAAAUUAGAGAUAGAUCCUAGUCGGUUAAGAAAUUAGUUGUAACAGGCUAUAAAUAGCCAUCGUUAGGGAUUUGUAAAAGAACACAUCAAUCAAUACAACAAUCUACUAUUUCCUCAUACUUACCUUUAAGUCGGCGACUUCGCCAAUACUUUUCUUCUUUCACGAGUUCGUACGGGUUGGCAGGGCUGCAUCGAAACGAUCUCCGGCCGAUUCUGUAAGUUCCAUUUAUCGAGUAAUAUCUAAGCUUUAACUUCGGGCGCAUCGCUGUCGUUUCGUUUAGAUUUAUUCACCAGUUAUCGAUAUUUACUAGAAUUAUAGGUUUUAUCUGUUGUUCUAGUUUUAUCACCAGUUAUCCAGCUUGAGAUUUGAAUUGUCGGCUUUGCUAUUGUUAUUUUUGUUCAUUACUACCACAUAGCCGAUUAGAUCUGUUUCAAGUGUUAUUUUCGUAGCUUUGUCUAGUUUACUCUAGUAGUUUUCUUUACAAUCGCUACGUGAUUGUCAGUUGUAUUAUAGCCGAUUAUCUUUUUAUAGCAAAUCGGCCGAUUCACUGAUACGCUCCUCGAGAUCAGAACUUUAGCCGAUCGGAACCCCUGGAAUUUGACACGUUUUCUUCCUUGCCAAUCAACAUGUUAGAUUGGCUGGUAUACCGCGCGAACCACACCAGGGCGAUCACCCGAACAGGAGCUAAGCAGAUUCUCCCGGGUCGUGUGUCCAAUGUUGAGGGUCAAUCAGCUUACUUUUAGCACGAACAACAAGACUUGGGGGACAAGGCUUCCCCGGAUACAUAUGGCAGUCUACAAUAAGUAUAUCUACAACUACCAAAUAUACUCUAACAACAUCUGGUGAGAACUUUGAUCUAGCCCACAAAAGGUUGUGAUGGUCUUCCAGCCAUUUCUCUACAUCAGGGCUGGUUGCAAAAACAUUGUCUAGGAAAUACUUAUGCUUUUCUUGUGAGUAUGCUCUAGCUGCAGGCCACAUGUCUGAUGCAUAAACUUCUCCUGUGAAAUUCUUCUUCAUGUUCUCCAUAAGAUGAUUGAAGCAUUCCCUGUAUUCUGCACAUGGAAAUACAGUUUUGAUUGCAACUUCUAAUCCUUUGCAGGCAUCUGUGCAUACUGCUAACCUUGGAAGAACACUAAUAGCUUUCCUUAGUUGCUCCAUGAACCAAAUCCAAUUCUCUUUGGUUUUUGAAUCAAAGAAACCAUGCUAAUGAAAACAUCCAAUUGUGACCAUCAAGAGCUAAGGCUGCAAGCAUGUGACCAUUCCACAUUCCAUUUAGUGCAGUGGAGUCAAUACCAAUGUAAGGCCUGCAGCCACCUAAGAAACCAUCUAUGCUACCCUUGGAAGCAAAAAAAAUCUACUAAAAUGCUUAUUGUCACCAAUUUUUAUAUAAUCUAUCUCAACAACACUGCUAGGACUUCUCAUUUCAACCUCAGCCUUAAACCUGUACAACCAGUCAAAAUUGUCAACCCAUUUCCCAAAAAUUUUAUCUGUUGCCCUCUGUCUACCAUACCAUACAGUUUCAAACUGAGUCUGAAUCUUAUACUUGUCCUCCAGUUCCUCCUUUAGUUCUUUAGCACCCAUCCCAAGCUUCCUCUUCAGUAAAGGGAUAGCUCUCUCAGCAACCCAAGCCUGGUUUGCCAUUCUUCCCAACACUCUACUUGUUGAAGCACACUGAUGAAGAUACUUAUUUAUUUGAACCUGCAGUAAUGCAAACAAACAUUACAGUAGUUAGUCUAACAUGAAGCUCAGAUGUAACUGCCUAACUGUAAUAAAUUGCAUAAAUAUAACAUGAAAUAGUUAGUAGGUGUACCCUGACACAACCAUCCAAUUGUGUCUUAGCCCUAAUAAUCUAAGGGCAUGCAGUAGCCUUGCAAAAACCCCUGAACCUAGACUUGUAAGCAAAAGCCCCUGAACCUGGACUUGUCAGACUUCUCAGUGCCUAGCUCAAAUUCAUUCACAAUGGCAUGCUAAUUAACUACUAGUCUAAAUUCAACCAUAGAAGGAUACAUUAUGCCAAUAGACAUUUUUGGAUUAUCCCUAUCCCGAUCCAUAACAGGUUCAAUAGGAUCACUGUCAUCCAUAGUACAGCUUGAAUCUCUCAUGUCCUCUUCCAUUUCUUCUGGAAUGGGAAUUUCUAUUCUUGUUGUCUGUUCUGCUCUCUCAUCUACAUCUUUGAAACCCAUAGCCUCAAACACUCUAUCUUCAUCAGCCAGUACAGUUGCUUCACCAUCUUGAUCAGGCUCAGGGAGGAUAACCAGAGAGUCCCAAUCCACAAUCUCAGGUGCCAAAUUUUCAUGACAUGUCUGCUCUGCCUCUGCAUUAUAACUAAAUAUCUCACCUAAGCCUUGAGCAACAUUAGGUACUGGUUGUGCUUGGCUGGUGACACCUGAACUGGCCAUAGAUCCAUCUCUAGUUUCACAAUCUUGUUCCUCCUGCUGAUAGCCCUUUUGAACUACUUGCACUAACACAUUAGCCAACCUGUCAUGAAACCUGGACCUAAUCAUCUUCUCAAAAUGCUCAUUCCUUCUGAUCUUCCACUGAGAACUACUAUCACUAUCAACAACCCACACAACAAGUGUCUGACUAGGAUCCCAAAUGAUCUUACUCGCCAUUUCAGUAACAAAUGAAUCAAGAUUGUACCCACUAUAUCUAUCAAUCCACAUAUCAUGCCAUUGCUCAGCCAUAUCUAAAGCACCAGAGUACUCCAAAAUUGACUUAAAUUUUUCACAUUAACCAUUUUCUAAAAGCAUUGCCAGGAUCAAUCCUGACAUAAUCAUAAACAAUGAAACAAUUUGACCCUAGAGACAUGAAUAUGCGGUGCAGCGACUUCAAGCGCGCUUACCAUGGAGGGCAUUCGCUAGGCUCCAUGUUCAAUCAAUGCAAGAACCUCACAUCUACUAGAAUACCUCCCUACAACGAUGAAAUAAAGCAAAUCAGGGGAGCUCAAGGGAAUCUAGAACCCCACAUCUAGGAGAACACCAUUCUUGGAGCAAGCGUGGAGCAAUUACCUUCAAUCCGUCACCAUCGCCGUCGAAGCCGACACCGGCGUCGCCGUCGCUGUCGGGGUCCAGCUACGGUUCGAGCAGGUGGUGAAUGGAUGGUCUGGCUCAGUCGGGACGGGGACAGGCGGUCGGGCAGUCUAAAGGAUAAGUCCAGAGAAAGCCGGGUCUUUUCGCGUGCCCCCGUCCAGCGUGUAUGCGUGACAUGGCGCUCCACAAAUGCAAAAAAUGGCGAAUGUGUAACAAAAUCUUCUCUUCGGUGGUAAAAAUGUAGACGAAAUUCUAAGAGUGAUUUUCAAAGGUGUGCCAUUUCUAACGGUGGCAAUUAAUUAAAUAUCCCGGUUUGGGAUAGUUGGGAACAUGAAGAAACUAAGUGGUGCACAAGGAUCUAUGGAAAACGAAGAGAUCGAGGGAUGAACAUGGGUGAGAUUCACUGUAGAAGGGAUGAGGGAGAAGAAAGGAGAAAAGGGAAACAGAACCGGCAUACCGCCUAACAGUCAAGAUUAUCCGUAGCCGCAUUUGGCUAGGUUUGAUGUCCCUCGUCAUGUAGACUUCGUAAAAAAAAAACAGCUGGAGUAAAUGAGCGUGAGAGAUGAUGUUGUAGACCCUUUUUGUUGACACAGAAUGGAAAGGGCAGCAUAUUUUAUCAGCAUGCAUCAUAUUUCGUACAGAAUUUUCAUUUCACUUCACUCAUACAUUUAUCUGGACUGAAUUCCCGUAAUCUAAAAAAAAGUAAGAAAGCAGCCCUUUCAUCUGACAACUAGUGCAGAAAACUGAACCGGAGGUUCAAUGAUCUUGCAUUACGUGAUCAAAGUACAUUACUUUUCCGCCCUUUUCAAUUGCAACUCUGACAGUAGAAUGAAAGAAUAUCAUGAAUAUGAACCUACAAUACAUCCCUACUUACAUACAAAAUCGUCUAAGAUCAGUCUGCAUUUAGCUGGUAUGUGUCACAAGGUUCCUGCAAAGAAAGGAGGAGAUUAUUAGAUGGUUCAUCACAAAAAGAUCAUCUGCAAGGAACUGCACAGCUAAGAUCCAUAUUCUUUGGCACAGUAGCACAUGCUCAAAUUCAUGCAAAUAGCCUAGUCAUUAAUACUCCAAUAGUUCCAUUAUUCAAAAGUAAAAGCCUAGCAUCAUUGUAACCCAAUGGUAUUUUGUAGCAUCAUUCUUCAAUUAUACUUAAUCUUCCAAUUUGUAUGUUAAAUCUGUUUUAUGAUAUUUUUAGUGAAAGAACACAACAAUUAAUUUUGACGAAUAAAGUUUCACAGUUUUUGUUGUUCCCAAAAAGGUACCGCUGCUUCCACAACACAAAGUUCAAAAACAACUUAAAGUUGCCCAUGCAUGUCAAUCUUGGAAACAAUGAUGAAUAACCAAUAUCAGGCAUAAAUUCCAGGAACAACUUCCGUGCGGUCCAAAUUGCUAAAAAUUGGAACUGAACUUUGAAUUGAAGCAAACAAGAGAGUUAGAAACAAAAAGCGAUGGGAAUCCAUCAUCUGUCAGUAAUUACUUACCCUUCAUCCUUGUGCUACUUGUUUUUGCUGCUUGCUGCUGGGACAAAUCAGUCAGUGACAAAGGAGUUAGUGGCGGGGAAGAAAUAUCACUGCCAUCUCUGCUAUUUCUAGCCUCCAACAAUCUGUUCACAGUGAUGAUGGGUAUCCUCUGGCUAUUUGAGGGUAUGGAAUAGCUGCGAGUGAGGGUAGCAGGUGGUAGUGGAAGUGGCGAGGGGCUUUGUGAUGCCGUCGGCGAUGCACGGGCUGGUGCUGCAGGAAUUUGAGUCUGACGUUUUGAUACCAGAGGACCAGAGUAACCGACCAAGCCAGAAGGUCUGAGGGACUCCACAUUGGCUGGAGGCCUAGGAAGCUCAUGAAGUUCGCUGAUCUUUGGUGAUUUUGUUGAAUGCCGCAACAUCUUGGGGGAAACUUUUGGGGACACAGAUGAUGUCUGCCGAGAAUGACUUUGAGGGUUUCCUGGCAUCACAUGUUGUGCCAUGGGUGACCUGCGAUCGUUCAGAGAAGAUGGCUUGCUUAACCCUGGUUUGCUUGGAAUUGGACCAGACCAAGAUUCCCUCUUCAUCUUCUUGUAAUCAGAAACUGAUUGGGAGAACGUCGACAUCCCCUCAGUACUUGAUGGCAUUUUCACAUGGCCACUCGGCCUAAACAAUGGAGAUGAAUGCCACAGAUUCGUUGCCACAUGAGGUUUACUUUCAAACUGUUGCGAAUGAUGUGAUCUGUGAGCACCUACUGUUCUGGGGGUUUUGUCAUCAACUGGGGUUGGGAGUUUGUACGAAUGUUUGGCUGAAGAUGGCUUCAUUUGCCAAAACCUCUCAGAAGGAUCUGGUAAAUUGCCCGCAAAAAUUGGUGCUGAAUGUGUGUUAAACUCAGGCUUCACUUGUGGAGUUAUAAUAUCUCCCUUGUUUUGUUUGACCUCUUCCUGCAUAUAAGAGGACAGCAAUAUUAUUAUCUUAAGAAUAUGCCCCCGAUUUGAUUUAUAAGUUAAGUAUCAAGAAAUCCUAAUAUUCUCUACACCGAGUCUAAUUGUACCUGCUUGCUUUCUUUUAUUGGCUGUGGGGAAUUCGUCACAUCUCUUUUAUCCAACUGUGCACAAAAAUUACAGUAAAUAAUUAAAAAAAGACAAUGCAGAUCAUUGACAUUAAUUCUCCAUUGUACAGAUAAAAUUUAAACACAAGAAUGUAAGAGAGAAGUGUAGUAUCAAGAAAAAGAUCAGGAAAAAAAUACAGCAACAGCCAUACUGUUUAUUUUAUGAAGUAGAAAAUAAAACUGAUAAAACUAGAAGCUAAAUUAAUAGGCUGAACCUCAUAUAUCAAUCAUUCAUUAAAUUGCAUUAUCACACGCUAACCACAUUUCAUCUAGCAGUGGUGAACCCAUGAAUAACGUGCAACUCUUUUUUAAACUAGCCUUUGAGGCCAUAUUUGUUCUUCUAAUCAGCUCAAACAGAAAACUGUGGAACUGGAGUCAAAUCUACCUCAAAUGCUAUACAAAUAAUGCUUAAUUACAGGGUAUUUAUUCUGUGAAACCAAGUGUGGACAACAUUAAUUGUUAGGCACUUGAAGGACAGAGGCACCUAGUUACAUAAAAAGCAAACCAAAAUAUGAACCAUAGAACUUACAUCCAUUGAACCUCUUGAAGCAAGAAAAUCUUGAUCCUUGUCAUUUAUUUCAUAGUCAAAACUAAGGUCUUCAUCGUCACUGCAACCAUCCUGUUCAGAGCUGUAAUCGCCGUUGUCAGAUGCAUCAUCCUCAAGACCACUGAACUGGUAGUCAAUGUGCUGUUUCUCAGCUAUUGCUUUUACAUGAGGAUCGAGUGCUUCAAGACACUUCAACCCUCUCCUGAAAAAGCUUAACUAAAAGUCGAAAGAACAGUAGGAUAGUUAGGUUAUGUGUCACCCAAUCACAGGGCCAAUUUGAAAGCCAGAGAAAGAGUAAACCUACCUGAGCGGCAUGAUGGCGAGAAGCCUGUGUUAAAAGACUAUGGAACUGCCCUUGCCUCAAUGAUUUUAAGCGAAAUAUGAACAGUGCUGCAUCUUCUUGGUACUCGGCAAAAGAACUUUGCAGUUGCUCUGCAGAACAUGAUUCAAUUUUGGAAUGCCUUGACUUUCCCUUUUCCCUAUAGGAUGUCCUCAUAGCUUCAUAUGCAUCUCUGUGAUGAAAGGAAAAAAAAUAUUGGUAAGAGAAGUAUCAAUCGUAAAUGAGAAAAAAGUUGAUUUGAGUUGUAUUUGAACCUUUUCAUGUCGCAUUGCUGCUUCAUUUCCUACAUGUUGUCAAAUAAAACAGAAUGUACAGUGUGUCAGGAUCUUACAGAAAAAAAAUGAAGUAAACUAAGGGCAUAUUUGGAUGGGGAUUCCAAAUGAAUUUUCGGAUCCUAUGUUCUUUGUUAUCAAGUUGAUCAAAGUCCAAAAAUUCUCAGAGCAAUCCUCUCUUCAAACACAGGGGGCAUCCCCUUCUUACUGACAUAAAAUAUUUCCAAACAAAUUCAUGAUCAACAAUCUUCUAAAUCAUAAUAGAAAUUUGGUAACAAGCAGCUAGUAUCUGCAUUUCCAAUCAGAAUACAUAAUUGUACAAAUUUAUAGGCAUCAUAGAUCUAACCUCUACAGUUUGUAGCUCCUUGAGAAGAGACUCUGAUGGGGUUGUGAUUGUAUGAAUGAUAUUUGAGCGCUGGAUAACCAAUGUAAGCAUGUCAGGGUCACAAAUUCUAAGGCAGUAAGACAGUUAAAAAAGGCAUGAUAUUGCUUGUAUUGUUUGUUUUAUUUUAAAUUUUCAGCUGUUUGCUUCUGGCAGAGGCUGGAAGUGGCCUCGUCGAUUAUAUCACUGAGUGUAAUUAUCUGAGUAAAAAAUAAAAAUAGCAAAAGGAACUUACGUAAGUAUCAACAAAUUUUUGCAAUUCAAAUUGGACCUUUCCCAGCAUCAUCAGCACUCUACCUGCAGGCAAGAGAAAAUUAAUAUACCACUAAGUUGUUUUUUCUAAGAAAAACUAGACACUACCAAAGUUGUACCAGAAGCAUAAAAAAAUCAACUGCAUAAAGAUCUAAUUAUUUUGGUCCAAAGAUGCCAAAUAGUACUCUUAUAAAAUGGCAUUAUCAUCCUAGGUUAUAUUUUAGGAAAGAUCCACUAGUCUAGUUUUAUAUGGAGGAAGUGUCAAAAGUUGAAGUCGCUAUGAUUUAUUCAGUAAAUUUCCAUAAUAGUUUAGCGUGUUGUGAUUCUAAAAGAUGCCUCUAGCAGAACAACGUGGUUUACUAUGUGUUACAUCAAAAUUUGGAUGUUCUUACCACUAUCAUCAUCAUCACCGUUGAGUGCAGUUUUCGCGAGAAAGCAACCUCCAAGUUCCUCGAGAGCCUCCGAAAACUCUGCAUAGACAAACAAGCUCUCAGUUAGAAACAUGGGGACACUACACAACUGAGUAUUUGCAAGCAAUUCAAUAUCUUAAGUAAGACCGUCAGGUACCAUAUACACUAUUUGUUGUCGCGGCUGCAGCUGAAAUCAAGCCAUCAUAGCAGUUUCUCAUGUCUUCCACCUCCUGGAAAGAAGUUGAGAACCAAACUUCAGUCAAUAAGGCAAUAUUACCGAAAGGAUGACUGUUUUAUUCUUGGUCUCCUUUAUAAUUUAACUGCAUACUCUGAAUAAAUUGGACAUGUCCUAGCAGUGUGGCAGGUUGCCACAGUUAGAGAAGUCUAAGGUAUGGUUAACAUCAGAGUAAACAAGUGCCUGGUGCCAUUGUCAUUCGACAAAUACUUGAUGAAAUCCUGCAUUAUGGCACUACAGUAGCUAUUUCACAAAUAAAGCAUUUUGGGACUACUUCUCCACUGUUAUAUUUGUAUGAUCUGACAUGCUUUGUAUUAUUGAAAAAGAUAGCUCAGCAGGGGAGAUUUUCAGAAAAUUGUCAAAACACUGCAUGUCUGCCUCAGAAAGACAGAAACACGCUUUUCUUAGAUGGCAUCAUUAGUCCAAACAGCGUAGCGUCCGAGCAUCCCACAUCACGCGGUAUCUGGAACGGAAUGCGUCGUGUUGCAGAACAAGCGUUCAUACGACGGACGGAAAGACUCUUGCUGGUACCGAAGUACAGGCUGCCGUCUCCAUUGAUCUAACGUGUCUUGUCCAGUCAAGAUCACGUCGGAUGGCUGACAUUUUUUAUAGCAGCUUUCUCUGAUGGACGUUUCCUUCUGAAGACUUUGACCAGCAAGAACAGAGCCCCAAAACGCCAAGGUGAUGCCGAGCAGACACGUAAAGGGGUUGCAAGUCUUUUUCAUGGAUUAGAACCUAACAACUACCUUACCCAAAAGAUACUUUGACUUGAAAAAAAAAACUCCUACUUGAAUUGAAGAGAAUAUAAAUUUAAGCGACAUUAUGUUUUUUCUUUAAAAAAUUUGCCCACGAUAUUUUGAAGCCAAUACUGUUUGUAUAAUUUUUCUCCGUCUACAAACUAGGAUACUGUCCCGUGGUAUUUGCCCAUUAAGAAGUACUCCUAAUUUAUGAAAAAUGAAAUUAAAUUGUGGAGGUAUGGCCAUGAACCAAUGAACAAACGUUGGCAAUUCUUUGGUAAAAAUUCUAAUUUUCACACAAAGACAAUUUCAAUUAAAAGGAAAUUUGAUCAGUUGCGCUGAAUGACCGAAUAAUGGGAAUUCCAUCGUUUGGAAGUUUGAUCAUUCCCCACCUAACCAAUGAUCGGAAACUGACACCAACCAAGAAAUGAACAACACACUCCACCCGGAAAACCGCACGAAAAUUAGGCUGCUAAAACCGAAAAAGGAGAAAAAUCCAGGGGACGAUCCCUCCCGAGAUCCAAUUUUGGCUCCGGAUUCAUCACGGGCCACGAAAAUCAUAUCCCAAAGGCCAAAGAUCACCCAGGAGCAGAGCCAGAAGAAAGAGGGGCAAGGCGCAGGUAGAUACGGACCUGGGCGGCGCAGACGAGCUCGUCGAGCUUGGCCGGCGGCGGCUGGUGCCCCCUGCGCUCCUUGGGGUGGUUGUGGCCGAAGCCCCGCAGCCUCCGCAAUGGCGACUUCAUCCCCUCCCGACGCCACGCGCGAUUCCUCCGCGCCCUCGUUGUUUCCGUCUCUCUAUCUCGAGCCUCCUCGCAAUCAACGGUGACCGGUGACGCUACCCGUUGCCUUGGAGUUUGGAUUACGGAGAGCCAAAAAUAGCCGGCCACUUGGGAGAGAAGGGAGAAAUGGAAAUGGAGGAGGAAGCCGGAGAGAGAGUAAUUGCGCCUCGCACUACUUAUAAUAAUCGCUAAUGGAGAAGCAGGGUGGGCCCCAUGCGCACGGUUGACCAUGCCAGUGGAAUCGCGCGGGAGAGAGAGGAGAGGUGGAAGAGGCUGCGACUGCAACAGGUUGCUCCGAAUUUCAGCCAGUGCUCUGAUCUGGCAGGCUGGUUCUCCAUUUCAAAAAGGUAAUUUUACCCCUCCUUUAGACAAAGAAAAACUCGUCUCAUGUGACGAUGUGAGUGAUGGGACAUGAUAUCUGUCCAUCUACUAGGAGGUAACCUACGGCAGAGGAAGGCCGCUGGGCCCACUUGGCUGGUCGGAGAUUACCAGCUAGGACCUGGAGCAACUGAGCUAACCCAUUGUACAUCCAUGCAUGAAACCUAUGUUCUCUGCCUCCUUUUCUCCGUAAUGUAAAAGUUCAUUUGUCCUGGUGAGACGCCCAGCUUGCUCUGUUGUUGCUCGGUAAUAUAAUGCGUGAGACCGUUCAAGCCGUCUCGCUGUCACCAACAACUUUUUGCAAUUGCAAAAGAUAGUGGCAUGGCCAUUUACCGUGACAACUUUUUGACCGUGAUCGAGACAGAUAUAUGGGCAAAUGCCCACACAAUCCAUGCCACUGUGCCGGUAAAAAGUUAUUUUUAUUCAAACCAACACAGAAUUGAUCGGGUGGUUUUUCUUCUUACAAUGAACUUGUAGUACUAUUACGGCAUUAAGGCAAAACUAGAGUUAAGAACCCACGAUGGUACGCGAAUUGAGCGUAGGUGUAGGUUCCACAUGUCGAUUUAGGUUUGAGUCCUCAACUUGAUACGAACUAAUGAUGCUUGGAAGCAAAUAUGUCAGUUGACAUCGAAGUGUCUAUAGUGACUUCAUCAAUCUCGAAGUAAUAAUAGAGACAACCAAUAUAAAUUGAUAUCUAUGCAAGAGCUGGCCCGACGAAGCUCGGAGAAAAAUGAAAACACAUAAAACUUGUAAUGUGAUACUCCAAUAAGGAAAGUUGAUCUUUAUAAUUUGCUAUCGCCUUACUGUAGGUUCAUAAUUUUUGUAUAUAUAUUCACACAUUUUGAAAGCGGAUGGUGGGUCGAGUGCACGAGAAACAGCGAUUUUCGUGACGCCGAUGCAUCGACCCACCGCUUUGCUUGGAAGGCAAGGAAAAAUAUCCGGACGCGACUGAUCUCAGCUCCCGUUCCAACGCUUUCCUCAGGGAAGCCGUUUGCGUGCGUCAGCACGCAGCGCGGCACGAGCCCGGCGCCCCGGCGUGAGUCCUCGUCCGGCGUCCCCGUCCAAGUCGGACGCGCUGGGUUUGACCGCUGACCGAUCGACGGCCCGGAUCGAUCAUUUAUUUCCACGCGGUCAAAAGGUCGCCCAGGGGCGCGGCACCAGGCAGCCCACGCCCCCCAUGCUGCACCAUGCAGUUGCGUGCCCACGUAACGGCCGAUGAGCUGGUCCAAUCCAGCUGGGAUGCAUGAGACUUGAGAGACUUUUUUUCUGGAUUUUUUCCUUCUUCCGUUUUUGCCCCCUUCACGUGUCCGUCUGUUUGCUGUUGACGGGUCGAAGGAGCGGUGGUGGCGUGUGGCCGGUCGAUCAAAAAGGUGUUCCUAGGAGAUCACGAAACGGAUUUCGGUUUUGAAUAUGCAUGCAGAUGAAUGGAGACCUGGAUAUUUCCGCGGCCCAACCGUUGGAGCUUCUCUUCCAUCCCCUUCUCCUUCUCCGUCUCAGGAACACAAAACCAAAGACAAAAGACUUUCGUUUUUAACGAUCUUUUUUUAACGAAAAAGGAGAAAAGACUUGUCAAGGCCGCAGCUAAAAUGGGCUUCAGGCGGGGGCUGCCAACCAAAUCCUUUGAACAAUCACUCGUUUUUUUUUUUGAAGCCCCACUGGAUUAUUGGGCGAUUGGCAAUAAAGUCUUGCCGUUCGGUACUGGUAGCUUCGCGCGAUUCGGAAGUUUUUGGGUUACCAUUGCUCACGCGCAAUGUGAGGCACGGGAGGAAGAAAAAUGUGGAUUUUCUUAAUUUACUAGUCCCUCCGUUUCAAAUUUAGGUCUUUUAACUUUCUAGAUUUAUAGAUUUAUUAUGCAUAUAGACAUAUACUAUGGUCCUGUUUGGGAGGAGGGUGCUAAAAUUUAGCCUUGACUAAAUUUUAGCACCAUCAAAUGAGGUGCUAAACUUUAACCCUUUGGGGUGUUUGGGAAGGAUGCUAAAUUUUAGCACAUGUGUUGACAAAAGACAGAUUUACCCCUCCCGUUGCCCUCCCCGUCCACCUCCUCUGCCUGGCCGCUCUGCUUGCCCUCAACCUUCUCCUCCAGCAGCAAUGCCAUGCCCUGCUCGUGGCGCAUCUCAGGUCGGGGCCCCUGCUGCUGCUCACUGGUGGCGGCACACCUUGGCCGCGUCCCCUUCGACCUCGCCGACUUCCGCGACCGCUCCUCGACACCCGCUCCCUCUUCGCCGCCCAGGAGCUGGACGACGUGAUGGACUGCGUCGUCAUCCUGGAGAUGAUGGCGGAAGCGAGGCGACGGAGGGGAGCGCAGGGGAUGUGGGUGCUGAGGAAAGCCGUGUAGCAAAACGCAGAGAAGGUUAUGCGCGAGGUCGAGCGCGGUGGAGAGGAGCCCGAGUCCUCGUCGCCGGCGGCGUCCCCGGCAUCGGCGUGGAGGCGGUGGUGUGGCCUGUCAGGCUAGGAUCUGGCGGCGGCGGCGGUGGCGGGGCCGGUCGGGCUCGGAUCCGGCCGCGGUGGCGGUGGCGGGUUCGGGCGGAGGCGAGGUGAGGCGGGGUGGGGGGCACGACGGUGGGGUCGGCGGAGGCGAGGCGCCGUGGUGCCCCUCGCGGGGAGAGAGAGAGUAAGGGGAGGAGGCGGCGGGACCGGCGAGCGAGGCGGAGGCGGUGGGACCGGCGGGCAAGGCGGAGGCGGCGGGGUGCCGUGCGGCGGGAUCUGGCAGGGAGGAGUGAGAGGGAGGAGAGAGAGAGGGGAAGGGGAGGAAUUUUGGACAAGGGGAUCACUUUUAGCCCCUUUAGUCCAUUUUAGCACCUCUUGGAGGAGCUAAUGGAUUAUGGAGGGCUACCUGUUGUUUGGCAUGGAGAGGCUAAAAUCUGGCUAAAAUGGGGGGUAUAGUUUAGCCCCCCUCCCAAACACCCCCUAUAUCUAGAUGCAUAAUAAUACCUAUGCACCUAGAAAAGUCAAAACGACCUAUAAUUUGAGCACCUAGGAAGCAACUAAUUGCUUGUCAAAUCAGCUAUCCAAAUUAAACGUCAUCUAAUUUUGACCGGAGGAAGUGCUUUCAGGCAUAUGCAAACGAAACUUUAAACCAGGACAUGUACAGUAUGUAGGUACAUAGCCAAAUCGAACCACUUCUCUCUCUGUUUUUUUUUGUCACACUGGGCAUUGCGUCGCAGCGGCAAUGAACAAUAGGGUACUUAUGUAAAGAUAAACCUUCAAUUUUGCCACAUCAUAUGACAUAUGGGGUGAAUGCAGGGAGGAAAAUGUGCUUACAUUUAUAGUAACAAUGUGUGGUUAAACUUCUUUAAGCACCCAUCACUACAUUGUAGAGAAGAGUUAUUCUAUGGAUGCUUAAUAGCGAUAUGUAUAUAUGCCCACUAUAAUUUAUUUUUUCAUUUUUAAAAACAUAGUACAUGCAUAGAUGCUCACAUAGUCACAUGCACGGGUACACUUAUACCUUCUUUUAGAAUGUUAUACCUAUUAGCAUUUAUAGUUAGAAGAUUAGACUAAUGGGUCUUGAGAUUGACAAAGUCAUCAAAAGCACAUUACCAUUGACACGCACAUCAUACACUACAUAAUAAAUGUGUGCAUCACUGAGAUAUAUCAAAUCCGGGUUAUGAUUCUGAUAGGCAGGGAAGCACCCCUACUAACUACCAAGACAAUGCUUAACUAGUGCUCAAAUUCAGACCAUCUAAGCAAACAAAAAUAGAUGUGCUUAUAGGGAGAAAAAGGUGCUUCAAUUACAUUAGUAACACCGUGAACUUGUUCAAGAACCCACUCCAUUGCAUUGAGAGUAGAGUUAUUCUAAGAGUGCUUAAGGGCAUGUACAAUGGUCAUCUGCAGGUCGUCUUUUUUUAUCCAUGCUGGCACUUUCAUCUAACGUGUACAACACUUAAUGAAGGGAGAGCAGCGCGGACUGCAGCUUGCUUGUCCCCUUUCCAUGUCCCCAUUCGUGUCCCCCAACACGUGGAAGCCAUCUAUUGGCCCCCAUCUAGGGACUGGGUCCUAUUUUUUUUCAAUUAAGGCGUCAACAAGCCCGCACCGAGAAAACGGAGACAUCUCAUCAGUUCCGUCCUAUCAAUGUUUAGAUCCAGCAACCUACCGAGGAGGUACUUGAGGUAGUUUUUUUAUGCGUGGGACUAGCCGAGAUCAGGAACUCGAAGGUGAACUCGAACACAUGAUUUAGACAGGUUCGGACCGCUUGUGUCGCAUAAUACCCUACGUUCUAUGUGUUGAUUGUGUUGUAUUGAUUGAACUUAUUUGGAGGAGGUGUCUACCUCGCCUUAUAUUGCCGAGGGUAGGAUUACAGGUCGGUUGUUUACAAGAAUACUAGUCAGAUUCGACUAAAGAGUCAUACUCUAAUUGCUACGAGUAGUUUUCUAAUCCUCGACUAGUUCUUAUCCUCCACAUAGACCACGUGAUCCUACACCGUAGUCUCCAUGUCUGACACGUCUCGGUGUACAACCCCGUAUGUAGGACUGUCCAACCUUCUGAUGGGCCCAUAAAUGUAUGGACGACAAGCCUUCGAGUACGUUUUAGUCAAAUGUAGCAGUCCCGAUUAGUUUUGUAGGCUUCUCCGACUAGCUUGUGGUAAUCUUCGAGUACUCCAAUGGAUCUCAGUCUUCAAAUGUACUCGAGUACUGCCAUGCGGCUAGAAUGUGCUCAAAUCUUAUUUAACUUGGUCUUGAAUCUUCAAUCUUGAAUUUUAUAUGGAAGUGCGAUGAAAAUCGCACUCCAUAUGGAGUAGCCCCCCGAGCCUUAGGUUGAAUCGAAGAAUCAGGUCGAGGGUCAAUCUUGUAAUUUCACCUCUCUUUUUCCUUUAAAUCCAAAGAAAAAACUUUUUAUCCAAUGGGCACAUGGCACGCAGCCCCCGAGUCGUUACAUGACUAGUUUGGUUUUGGUUAUAAGGGUCAACGACUAGUCAACAUGACCAUUCGCCAAUAGUAACCUUAUCUUCUUCUGAUAAUUUUGGAAACUGCUGACCGUUGCAUAAUCUUCGGACAUUUUAAAAAUAGAAUAUUCCCGUUAAUCUCGCCACUAUUUUAACUGUGGCGCGGUUAUAAAUAAUAAAGGAAAUCAUACCUUCCGUUUUCACCCAAGCCAUUCUGCCUGUUCAUCUUCCUCAUUGUAGCCCUAACGCCGCCGCUCGCUGAUCCCUUGAGCUUGAGUGCCACCGACUCCCCCAUUUUAACCCCAAGCAUAUGCGCAGGAAGACCCUUGUGGCAGCACAAAUGGGAAAGAAGGCAACUUCUAGCAAGGUGGUGGAGAGCCAAAAGAGGAAGGCCGCAAAGAAAGAACUUCAACUGCCGUUGCUGAAGUACGGCAAGAUGGACCAGACCGUUCCGCCAACGCAAGCAUGCGCCUGGAAGAAAUUCAUGAUGAAGGAGGCGGACAUUCAGGCAUUGGUGGAUGCUAAUCUGCUCCGAGACCAAGAGUCCAUCAACUAGAGAGAAGCCCGCGGCAAUCCCUAGCUGAUGGAAAACUACACUCACGAGACGGUGAUCUUCACACACUUCAUCGAACGAGGUUUGGCUUUGCCCACAUCUGAAUUCUUCCGCGGACUGCUGAAUUACUACAAGAUAGAAUUAGUGCAUCUCAACCCAAAUUCUAUCCUACAUAUUGCCAUCUUCGUGCAUCUGUGCAAAGCUUUCCUUGGAAUUCAGCCACAUUUUCAACUCUUCUGCAAAUUCUUUAGAGUUAAGCCUCAGCCUCAGUUAGACCAUACAGAAGUAGUUGGAGGGGCAGGCAUUCAACUGCAGGAGAAAGUGAAAAGCUUGUACUUGGAUUAUGAGCUGAUCGAUUCUCAUUCUGGCUGGAAGGACAAGUGGUUUUAUAUUGGUAAUCAUGAGCCCCGACUACCUAAGGAGACAAGCCACCGCCCAAUUUGGAAUAACCAGUGGUUGGACAAGCCUUCCUACUCAGACAGCUUUCAACUACCCAAGCUUCUGGAGAAGAUCGCCGUACUCAAAUGGAAGGGGCUGACAGGAGUAGGCGUAGCCUUCAACUUCAUGAGGAGGCGAGUCCAACCCCUGCAAUUGCGCUGCACUUGGGGGUAUGACUACUCGGGCCCCAAUGACCCAUCCCAGAUGACAUCAAACGACUUGUCCGUGGAUGAGGUUAUGGCGUGAUUGAGGUGCCUCUUCAAACACGCGAGAGCAAUCCCGAUCAUCGUGCAAGAACACUGCGCUGCCAACCCACCAAGCAGUGUAAGUACCCAUAGCAUCAGCCCCCAAGUACCAAUUUUGUACUUGUCAUUUUACUGACUUGUCUUUUCAUGCAGGAAGAGAUUCACUUGUAUUGCUCCAUCCUCCUCCACCCAGCUCGGAUGGCUCUGAUGCCGCUCCUCGAGUGCACACGGCUACCGAAGCUCAGAAGGUAGUCGAGGAGGAGGAGGAGGAGGAGGAGGAGGGGUUUUCUUCUUUCAGCAGCUUUGAUUCAGAGUUUGCUGAAAAAUUUGUCGUCAAGGCCCGACCGUCUGACAAGGCGGGGUCUUCCUCCGGGACAUCCAAGUGCGAAGCCGAAGAUGACCUGGAGGCUGGGCUAGCACCACCGCCGAAGAAGAAGUGCACUGUUGCCGUCAAGCACGUGGUGAAGAAGCCGCCCACCGCUAAUGAAGUCCGUCCUCCGAUAAUCACAUACGAAGAAGGACAAGAUCGUGAGGAUCGAGUACUCGUAAGUUGUUUCCUUUAUCGCCAUGCCUAACUUGAUUCUGACAUUGAUGAUUUGCAGGUAGUCAGAGGGGAGACAAAGGUAGAGAAGACGGCUGCAGAAGUCAUGCAGCAGGAGCUGCCGGUGAUCAAGGAGGUCAUCGAGCUAGAAGAUGACGAGAAGCCUCUUGUCACCAGGGCCAACCCCAUCCUUGCGCAGACUACUCAAAUGGUGGAGACGACAUCCAAGUCUAGUGAAGAUAAAACUGCAAUCCAACAAGCCACGCCAAAGAAAGCGUUGCUCACUACCAAGUCCUUGAGCCUGGGGGGAGAGCCCUCCUUGAAGAUAAGGCGAUCCACAAAGUAAGUACUGGACUGUUAUCAGAGUACUGAUUGUGACUUGGUGUUGUCUUGUAGUGUGUAUUGACACUUGUCUUGUGCAGAUAUUCCACCAGCGUGGACAUUGGAGGUCCAGGCCCGAAGUCUACGGCUGAUGGCAGCAGCUGCUCAGUCCAAAACCUCACCCCGGCACCUACAACUCCACCGCCAGAGGAGCAACCUGCAUCAGAAGUAGCUCCAGGUGUUGUAUCCCUUAUUGCUGUGCUUGUGCAUGAUGUUAUUGCAUCACUAAAUGUUGUUGUAGUGCCAGCCCUCGAGCUGCCAGUAGUUGAGCCCAUCACGGCGACUACUUCUGCUGUGGUGGCUACAUUGGUAGUCCCCGAGCCAGAGGCGAAGAUCAAGAUGGAAGUAGCAAGUACUUCUGGAGCUGAGGCUACACUUGUAGCCCCCGAGCCAGAAGUGGAGGUUGAAGCUGCCGGGGCUCUGCAAGUGUUGGCUGUCAUCCCACCGUCUGAGGCGGGAUCGUCUACCAACAGCGGCAUGACUUCUCACUUAUCUUCUGAAGCUGGUCCUUCAACUACCCGAGCACUGGUUCCUCUUGGUGCCCCAAUCGCCGAAGAGCACAAGGAACCGUGGAUAGCUGAAGGGGUGGAUCUAGAGAAGAUCCAGCUUCUUGCUGACCCUCUGACCACCGUGGAGAUGGAGGCCACGGUCAUGGAGAUGCACCGCUACUCAUGAAGUACGACGGCCAAGCUACCGAGUAUUGUAACCUCGUCCAACAAGCCGCGAAGGGGAAGGACUGCCUCCGGUAGCACAACAAGGCAUUGAAGAAUCGAUUGGAUGGUAUCUUGUCACCUCCCGCUGGUUUCUAAGUACCAAUUUGCGCUUCAGUUUCCUCUCCUUCUACGUUAGAGGUGAGCUCAUCCUGCGAGACAUCGUCUAGAUGACGUUUGCAUCAUGGAUUUCUUUCUGGUAGUUCUUCACCAUCAUUUUCUUAUGCAGCAACGAUAGCGAGGAGUUCCUGCUCUAGAGAAAAACUACCCGAACUUGAUGUAAUGAUCUCUGUGGGGCCGUCUUCCUCGUAGAUGGGCGACAGAGGAGUUCCCUCCUGGUAUGGGAGAGUUUCAAGGUAGACGACAAGGCGUGACUCGUCGUCCUUGGUGAGAGCGGGUGGCUUCAUGUUGGGCAAUAGACGAAUCUGCCUUGUGGAGUAUAUUUGAUAACCAAACCCUGCUGUGGACCUGAUAAUGGAAUCUCCUCGUCCGGAUCCGAGUAAUAGUCGGGGUCCUCGAUCAAAUCCGAGUUGGAUUGCGAUUUGGAUAGGGUAGCUUGGUAGGCAGCACCCGAGCUUCGAAGUCCGAACGGGAAUCGACUUGUGUUGUAGAUCGAUUCACAUGAUGGCUUAAGCACCAGCUCGUGGGAACCAGUCCAACUGGUGAGAGAAGUCGAAUUGUACUCGGACUCGUCCCUUGAGCCUUGGAAGAGGUUGAAAAUUUCGUUGAAUUUUUCAACGAAAUCCUCCAAAGCUUGGCGAUGAAGGUUGAUGUCAUACUGCUUCUCCUCCAGGGCCAGCGCGAUGUGGCGGUGGAAAUUUCCAGUGCCGCGUGUGAUGCAAACCCAGGAACCGAAGAUGAAUGUCGCGCCCACUCCUAACACAACGGUGCGCUUGAUGAUGACUUGAGCCAUCGAGUUUGCCAGCGGAUCUUUAGCGAGACCCCUACCUAGCGCGCCAGCUGUUGGUGUUUAGACCCCGCAACCUACCGAGGGUGUACUCGAGGUAGUGUUAUUAUGCGUGGGGCUCGCUGAGAUUAGAAACUCAAAGGUAAACUUGAACACACGAUUUAGAUAGGUUCGAGCCGCUUAUGUCGCGUAAUACCUUACGUCCUGUGUGUUGGUUGUGUUGUAUUGAUUGAACUUGUUUGGAGGAGGUCCGUGUCUCGCCUUAUACUGCCGGAGGCAGGGUUACAGGUCGGUUGUUUACCAGAAUACUAGUCAAAUUCGACUAAAGAGUCAUACUCUAAUUGCUACGAGUAGUUUCCUAAUCCUCGACUAGUUCUUGUCCUCCACGUAGACCACGCCGUCUUGCACCGUAGUCUCCAUAUCUGAUACAUCUUAGUGUACAACCUCGUAUGUAGGACUGUCCGAGCCUUCUAGUGGGCCCAUAGAUGUAUAGAUGACACAUCCCCCGCGCUAACAUUAGUGGCAGCUAGGAAGUUGAUAAAAAUGGCACCAAUUACAACAUAUUGCUUCCAUUAGCGAGGGAACAUUUAAAAUCAAAAUAAUAAUUAUCAGAUUAGCAUCUCCCCUUCGUCCACAAAAUAGUAAUGGAGCUAGAUCUUCAACUGAAUGUCUCAAUGUUUUGUCAACAAGUUGGGUUUCUUUUGAGGUGCAAAUUGUACAGGAAUGAUCAAUCCGAUUUGGUUUUUCGAUGAACUAAUCCAACUGAUUGGAAGAGACUACUUACUGACCGGACUAAAAUGACUUGCUACCGCACUACACUGUAAAAAAAGAGGUUCAUGAAGAAAUUGAUGCCUAUCAGGUCGAUGUCCCACCACGACAACCUUGACUCGACGAUACAACUAACGAGAAAACACCAAAAAUAAAAUUCCUUACCAUCCAAAUCAUCACGAAUCGAGAUCCCAGCCACCCAAUUCGAAAUCCCGAAGCAGGAAUCGAGAUCCCGGUCACCCAAAUCGAAAUCCAAGCAGCUAGAAUCGAGGUCGAUUUGGCAGGAGUUGCUUGUGCCCAAAUCGACUUCCUUGUUGCUGAAUGGAAGUUUGCCGCAACCCAAAUUGAGUUUUGUGCCGUCGCUUCCUGCAUCUAAAUCGAUCUCCUCACAGCAUAGGCCAGGCGAGCAACUUCCAGCAGAGGAGAAAGAAUGGGAGGAACGGGGCUGACGGACGGCGCCACUCGUGGCGUGUCCAUGUGGAGCUGGGACGGAAAAAAAAAAGAAAGAGGGCCCGGCCCCUGGAGAGGAGCGAUUUGAUGGCCUCCACGUGUUCGGAGACACGGAUGGAGACACGUUAAGGGAACACGGAAGCUGCAGCCAGGAGCGCGCCGUCGCCUCGCGAGAGGACGGCAGGGGCUCGUGUUCCCAAGUUUAAUCGCCCGCUCGUGCUCCGUUGUACGACCCCAUUCUCGGAGACGACGACGACGAGCGAUCCUGUGCGGCGAGCCGGCGAGGUUCUCCAAGAUUUGGCGCGGAAACAUGGCGGCAAAAGUCUAUCCCCGCGCCAUUUUCCCUUCCCCUCCACCUCCCCAAUCUGUUCCCAAUCCUGCAAAGCCAGCAACCAUGCGGCGACAGCGGCGGGAUGCAGCGGCAACGCGAGAUCUGCUGGAAGCGGCGCCGGCACGGGAGAGGAAAGGUGCUGCGGCAAGGGAGCGGAAGGCCGAGGUAAGGACCCUUGAGGAGAAUGGCCCUGCAGCGGAAGGGUGCAGUACGGGCGGAAGGAGCUGCCCCCGUUCAAUCCGCGUCAUCCUUCACCGACGACGUGAGGCACAUCCUCACAGUCACCGGCGCUCCCGCCUCCAGAUGCGGCGGCAUGCUGGAGCGGAAGGUUGCGAUGACGGCUGGAAAGCGGAAGGGCUCGCUCAAUAGCGGUGUUGUUAAUUUCCGGCUCUGUUCUGUUGCUUCCCUCCACGGAUGGAUUGGGUGCGGCAAGAUGGAGAGCGUGGCGAAGGGAAGCACGGCGGCGGGUUGCUGGAAGCCAGGAUCUAGCCCCAGUCGGUGUUCAGCUUCAUUACUGAUCUCCCCCAGUCCAUGCUUGCUUCUCUGAAUGUCCGUGUUGCUUGCUUCUUUGUUUACUUAAACGUCACUAAUGCAAAUGUAGAGAGCGAAGAUCGUGCAGAUCUUCUCUUUUCCAAUUUCUUAAUUUUUUUCCUGGUGUUUACAAAUCUGAAACGUAGACCUGUGUUUUUUUGUUUCAUGAGAUUCAGAACAUGAUGAAAUAUUAAGCAAGUUGAAAUCAUGACCUUUUGAUGACAGUCAAGCAUUAUGCUACUAAUAUCAUUUUUUUACAGUUCCAUAUGUAGAUAAUAGCAACGUAAUAUCAGUUCGAGUUCUCUGGUAGCAUGCUCCUGAUAUUCUAAUAACCUUGGUCAGUUUAACACAUGCUAGUAUUGCCAUUGAUUUUCACAGGCACAGUUGCUGAGCACUAGGGUCUACUACUAUCUGAUUCUUGUUAGGCUCACAAACUUCAAAUUCUGCCACUGAAUAUGUCUGCUAUGUACACGAACUAUAACUAUGAAUGUUUAGACUUCACAUUGCAGAUUUGGUCUGAAUGCUUUGACUAGCAAGGAGGAAGCCAAGGGAGGACCUGCUGUUGCAGCGCACUAUUAUGUCUGUCAGUUUUUCAUGUGAAUGUGCCGAAGUGUGAAUAGAUGCGAACAUGUGUCAAACUAGCAACAAAAUGACAUGCAAAGAUCAAAUAUAUAGUUGAUCGCCAUGUUAACUGUCUCUUUGGCUGCCUGUACGUGAUUGGCUGCCUGUACGUGAUGUGGCAUGUGUUCGCAGACAAUAACCACAUGCACUAAUGACAUGACUUUCCUUUUACAGUUUUACAGUAUCUUUUUUCAAAAAAUUUCUAAACAGUACAUAAAUACUCACAUGCAUGCAUGCGACCAUAGUAUGCACGAAAACACUUGCACACACAGAGAUGGCAACGGGGAAAACGCUCCCCCAUCCCCGUGGGGAAGAAAAAUCCCCAUCCCCGCCCCCGUGAACGCUCGUGGGGAACGUUUCCUUCCCAUCCCCGUCCCCGCACGGGGAAUUUGUCCCCGACGGGUCCCGUCCCGCAAAUUACCGACUUUUUUGUAUUUUGGCUCUUUUUACGAAAAAAUCUCACAAAUAGGCCCCUGGCGAAACCAAUUCCGAAAAUGGACCCUCAGCUUGGCGCCAGGUAUAACGUCUUGGCGCCAGCCAUCCUGGCGCCAAGGUCCCUAUGCCGCGCCUCCGACGUGGCGCCGGCCCGCUGACGUGGCGCGGAGGCUUGGCGCCAAGAUCCAUGGCGCCGAGCCUCGGCGCCAAGAUCUGUGGCGCCAAGGCUCGGCGCCACCGUCGCUGGCGCCAAGCCUUGGCACCAUAGAUCUUGGCGCCGAGGCUCGGCGCCAGCCUCCCUAGCGCCAAGCCCCCUACCAUAUAUAAUGCCCCUUCUUCCUGCCCGAGAGUUCCUCCUCAUUAUUCUCCACUCUCUCGGGUUUUUACUCUCCCUACUUUGCCCUAGACUACGAAUCGACAUUGUAGCUUAGGAAACUUUCAUUUGAUCCGUGGAUCCUGAAGAGCAAGGUAUCCUCUCUCCGUCGUACCUUUUUUUUCACAUCGAUUUGCUAUAUAUUUCUUGCAUUUUUGAACUUAGGGUUUCAUGCAAAUGUAGGAUGCCGAGGCGUGGAAAAGCUAAGAAACUAAGGUAAUCUCAACGCCCGUAGUUAUGUUAUAUACUCAUUGUUGUGGAUCAAAUGAAAAAACCUUAAUUGUAGGUUUAUUCUUAAGUGCGUUUGAUUCAUAGAACCAAAUAAACAAAAUUGUAGUUAUGGCGCAAAGAAGACCGGAAAUGCGUUCGAUCCAUUGCCUCUGCCUAGUGGUGUUCCAGUGCCGAUGUGCUUUUGCGGCGAUCCUUGCAAGGUAGCGAAGUCCGAAGAACAUGCCACGUAUAGGCAGAGGUAUUGGAUGUGUUCCAACUUUGCGUUUGAACCUACACUUCGUCAGCGCCGCAUUAACAUGUUGGUAAGGAAAUGUUGUUGUCUUAUAAUUAUUGUCCAUAAUUUUUUUGUUAUAUAACAAUUGCAUUUGUUGUAGACCCCUCCACCGCUAUGUGAUUUUGAGCAGUGGAUCGACACUGAGAUCGAUCCUGAAGACAAGGAGUUUUUGGAGUAUAUGAUGCGCUGGGAUGCAGAGAGGAAGGAGGUGUACGAGAAGAGGCUCGUAGAGGAGGCUGCGGAAAAGGAGCACAAGGAAGAGGAGGAAAGGAGGCGGGUUGCUGCGAACAGGGAGGAGAGAGAGAAGAAGCUUGAGCAGGCACGCCGAGCGAAAGCAGCGGUUGAGGAGAAUCCCGAUGCCUUAAGGAAGGGAAAGUGGCCUCGUUGCACUCAGUAGCCAUAUUUAGGUUCUAGUUCUAUGGUUUAUUUAUGAACAAUAUUUUCUACUGUGAGACUUUUAUUAUGUUGUCAUGUAAUAAUGCACUUUAAGUAAGGACACGCAAUUUGUAGACGACAUAUGUUCAUUUUGCGAUGUAAUGCAUUUCGAAGUCGUAGUCUACUAAAAUAUCCGUAGAAAAUAAAAAUGGUACUUGUUAGCGAAAUUUCGGCAGAAUUUCCCCUACUUGUUGAUGCAAUCCAUACAAAAUUACGAGAUGAAUAGUGAAUAUAAAUACAAGCAUAGAAACAUAGAAGCAUAUGACACAAGCAUAUGACACAUUCAGAAUAGAAUCCACAAUAGUUCAGAAUGAAAGUCCUUAUAUAUACAAAUAGUCCAUAUGAUACAAAGUUCGCAAUCAGAGUCGUCACUGCCUCCUAGUCUUACCCUUACCCUUGUGACCAAGGGUGUCGAUGCCUGGAGUGUAAGGAGAACGUGGACGACGUAGUCUAGUGCCCCCUACAAUCUGUGUAGGCUGAGUCAAGGGAGCCUCCUGGAGCUGAGACGGGCCAAUCUCCUCGGCCCUCUGCUCAUCGUCGUCGUCAUCGUCAUCGUCAUCGUCGUCGUCGUCGACUUCCUCGGAUGCAAUUGAUUUCGAACCUGAGGGGCCUUGGCUGGACGCCUCCUUCGCGCAGGGAUGGAACGUGCACGUCUCGCGUCGUGGCAGUCCUGCAACCACAACGAGCAGCGGCACGGCGAAGCCGAUUUGACAAUCGCUGCAGUAGUAAAAACAAGUUACACAAAUGAAGAAUGUAACGUAUUAAUAAAGUAUUAGAAAGAAUAAUUUGAGACUUACCUCUAGGAAGCUCCGCGUCUCGGGGUCCCUAACUCGUGGACGGAAUUGCUCUAUAUCUCUAACCGAGCUUUGUAGGGUACGCCCCUGCAACAAAUGACUAAGUCACUAAAGCAACAAAUGACUAAGUCACUAAAUGACUAAAUGAUUAAGUCAGAUGAUCACUAAGUCCUUAUCUAACUAACUAAAUCUCUAAGUAACCUAACAUAGAAUAUAGAAAAGUGAAGCAAUUGUCUUACCAUCCUAUCCAGGAUUGGUCCUACCUCCACCUGCCUUCCAGCACGAGUACUCUGAUCGUACACCGUGUCUUCAUCGUCGGAUGAGUGGAUAUCGGCAUAGUCAUCUUCCGUCCACACUUCCCUCAGCCUGUGCCGCGUCGCACCUUGGUACCAGCUCUGGUAUUGCCUGUACGCACUGUUUGUGUGCGGCUCGUUGUUCUCGUCCAAGUUCUGCUCGAACUGCUCCCAUUCCUGAAUGUACGCGUGGUGGAACGCGGGCCACUCGGAGACCUUCCGCUUCUUCUUUCGAUCCACGCUGCACGUCACGUUACACGUUACUGUUAGCCAAAAUUUAGUUAAUAGUAUUGAAAUAUAUGAAAAAGGAAAAGACUUACUUGUGUAACUCUAUACUAGUCGAGGUCGCCUGUGGUGGCCAAAUCUGCCUCAUCCCAAAUUGACGUGCUACUCGAUGUGGCAGGUGGUACUCGACAGCAUAGAAGCAAAUAAGAGGGCACACCAUCCUAUAAAUAUCAUCGUCCGUCGCACACACGAAGCUAAGGGGAAAAGGAAGUGGAUCGUCUCCGUCGUAAGGCUGCCAAUUUACCUGCAAAAUUUGAAUAAAAAACGUUAGUUGUUAUACUAAAAGAUUACAAAGCAUGUUUAAAAAAAAUUCACUUACACUAUGAGCAGUGAGCGCGUCUAUCUCGUUGAUGUAAUCCAGGUACGCGCGGUCCAACCUCGUAUGGCUAACCUUAACCUGAUCCCAAAUAUAUGCCCAUGUCGGCUGUCGUCUCGGCGGCUCACCUGGGAACCACGGUCGACGCGGCAUAAUCUCGGGCCGACCAACAGGAAGACGGGACCACAUCCAUAAUUCCAACAGGUAGACACACCCACCAACUGACGGGGAGCCCGAAGUCCGACGGCACGCCUCGCACAGCUGCCGGUAUAGAAAGCACAACACAGCUGAUCCCCAGCUGUAAAAACCAGCCUGGUGCCAGUCAGUGAGGCAGUGGAUCCACAUCCAAGACGCAGUGUCACCUGUAGCGUCUGGGAAAAGAACACAGGCAAAGAGGUGUAGUAUCCACGCCCUGCAGUAGUGUCCAACUGUCUCAGCAUCCGCGUCCUGGGGGCACUGGCCGAAGUGUUCCCGCAGCCAUGAGAUUAGCACUCCAGAUGUGCGAGUCCCCUGCUCCUCAACCUCUCGCCCCAGGAAGGCUGCGACUCGUGCUCUCCAACCAUCUGAGACGCACGGCCCAGUGACUGGCUGGCCCCGAAUCGACAGACCCAGCAUCUUCUGACAGUCCUGUAGGGUCACUGUCAUCUCUCCGAACGGGAGGUGAAAGCUGUGAGUCUCGGGUCGCCACCUACAUUUCGCCGGAUUAUUAUUUGAUAACAUGUAAAGACAUAACAAAAUGAAUAUGAUUAGUGGUAACAGUACCUGUCAACCAACGCAGUUAUAGCCGCUGAAUUGAACUUGGGCAUCCCACGACGAACCUUAUACGAGAUGACAUCUAGGCCAGCCAUCUGUAGCAAAGGAGUGUAGCGGUCGUCGUACUGCAGCGCCAAAAACCCAUCAUGGGCUCUAGAACGAAGGAGCGGAAGGACCUGCAUGCAAAUAAACCGAGUCAGAGAUUUCAUAGGACACAAGACGUGGACGCUCGCAAAGCUUUAAUCAUGAAUUGUAAAUUAUUACCUGCCCUCCCGCUAUGAGACGACCUCGGUGGGUCUGGUCGUACGCCUGGUCUAGAAGGUGGAAGUGCGCCAUCCUACAAAAAGGCAAAAAGAAAUAAGAUUAGUAAACAAUAAAUCAUGAAGUUAGAGAUGUAGAAACACAACCUGUAUGAAUAAAACACAUAUCAAGUAACGAAAAGAGCUACUAGUCGCACCUCACUAAUUUGCCAACGGCAAGUGCGUGAAUUAUGACCCAAUCUGCCGCACUUGCCGCACUCGUUCUGUUCUGGAUCAGCAAGAAAUGGUGUUGCUCUACCACGCCUCGUUCUUCCGGAUACCUGAUCCAUAGUCAUGUUAUGCCUCGUCCGCUUCCUUGUUCCACGUUUGUUCCAACGGUAUGCAGGAUCCGCAACAUAUUUUGGCCCAUCAUAUGGAGGCCACUCUCUAGGAUCCCGGAAAGGCACGAAGCGGGGGCUCCAUGUCCGCACAAGGGUGCCUACGCUGAACUCAUGUGGUAUCAUGCUCUCGAUAUCAAAAUUGCGAUGCCUAGCUGCUGCCACCAAAUGAGAACAUACGAAGUGGUACUGCCUUGGCCUACCACAAGUGCACUUGAAAUCUCGGAGAACUACCACAUGUAUCCUCGACUCUCGGAUCUCACCGUCGGACGUUGUACCGCCCCUAUGCUCCACCUGAUAAGUCCCUGAGCCGAGAUCAAAACAUUGCACCUCAUGUGUGGAAGCCCUUUCAUUUGCAAUGAUGAGAUGUCUCUUUGGUUUUUCAGCCCAUCUCUCCCCAGCAAUCUGCAACGCUUCUGCUUUUGCGUGUCUUUUAUUGAACCACGCAACAAGCCUGUAGAAGGUGAAUUCAACGAUUGCGUUCACAGGCAUACCACGUAUCCCCAAUAACAAUUUAUUGAAUGACUCGGCCAUGUUACUGCACUGAAACUCGUACCUCCAACCACCGGCGUCGUGAGAUCUAGUCCACUUAUCUAAAUCUCUCAUCAAACCAGCAAGCCAUUGUCGACCUUCUGCAUUUGUUGCGGUCCUUACCUGCUCCAAUUUGCGCUGAAAGUAAUAGUCCUCAAGCUGAUGUGCUGCAACUUGAAACAGAUCAAAAUUAUCCUUCACACCAUCCUUCCGAAGAAGGUUCUCCGCAAGGUGCCGAGUGCACCAACGAUGAUGCAAAGGUGCAUAACCCUCUAUCUGUUCUUGCACAGCAUGAAGUAUGCCCUGAUGCCUAUCGGAUAUGACGCCAACCUCACUACUAGGACCAACCACAUGUAUCCGGACUAGUCUUAAGAACCACCCCCAACUGUCAUUGUUCUCCCUCUCAACCAAUGCAAAUGCCAAAGGAACCAACAUAUUGUUCGCGUCACAAGAUAUGGCUAUAAGAAGUGUGCCUCUAUAUUUGCCAAUCAAAAACGUACCAUCAAUAGAGAAAACAGGACGACAGUGCCUAAAGGCUUCCACAGACUGAGGGAAGCACCAGAACGCACGCUCGAAUAUCUGCCUCCCGUCCUUCCAAGCAUUUGGCUUUGGGAUGUACUCAUAAUGCAUGCCUGGAUUCACCGCUUUAAUUGCAUUAAAAAGAACUGGCAGCUGCUCGUACCCAGACUCCCAAUCCCCAUAAAUCAUCCUCCACGCUCGCUGCUUAGCCCUCCAAGCUUUACCAUAAGUUAUCACAUAUCCUCCAUAAAUCUCCUCAACAGUUCUUAUAAUUGUUCUCACUUUCAUGUUGGGUUGUUCCUUCAAUAUUCCCAUCAAUCGCUUCGCAAUGAGGGUAGAUGUUAGCUGCGGAUGUCUCACUGUAAGCUCAUGGUCAGCACAAUUGUGUGGACCGACAACUUUUGUGAUCUUCCACUUCCCGGUGAUAUUUUGCUUUCUUGCACAAACCCUCCAUGGACACCGUUCCUUGUCACACACAACUGUGUAACGGCGCUCCGCAUAUGAAUGCAACACUUUGUAUGGUCUCUUCCGUAUCACCGCAAAGGCUUGCAACCAUCUCUUCAAUGCGGGAAGGUCCUUAAAUACCCUACCCUCCUCAAUAACCAUACUAGGACCAGCUUCAGGAGCUUCUAGGAGCUCAUCAUCAUGUCCUUCUGCAAACGCCUGAUCGGAAAGAGUCAGGUCGCUAAACUCGUGAACUAUCGGAUCACGACGUCCGGGGAAUAUACGCCUGAACAUCUCAAUAUCACUCUCUGUCAUCUCUCCAACAGGACGAUCAUCAUCAGAAUCAAGAUCCACUCCCAUCUCGUAUGCAUCUUCAUCAUUCAAAACUUCAACACUAUUAGAGCCACGCAAUCCAUCUCCACAUUGCACUUGCGCAUCAACUAGAGGCACAUCCACAUUUUCUGGAAUAUCUCCUGCGCCAUCAAGUACAAAUAUGAGUAAAGAAUAAGUGGAUGGAACGAAUGGAUUAUCUCGUAUCAAUAGAAACCGGUGAGACACUUACUCGGAUCAUUCUGAGUGAAAAGGAACUCAUUAGGAGAGUCCGCCACAUCAUCAACAAUCCGACAACCAUGUCCAACUACUUCAUUAGGGGCAGAUUCAGCAUUGGGAAUAGUAGGUGCAACAUCCACGUCCAUAAUAGGUUCUGGGACGGGAGGAUCGAAAUGUGCCCGUUGACCCAUUGGUCGGGAAAACCGACGAGGAUUUCGAUCAACUCCGACCGGACGAACAACCACUUCAACACUUGGGGAAUGACCAUUCAUAACCGUCCUCACAUAUUUCUCCCACUGACCUGCACACCGAAUUGGGACCAUCUUCCUUUGAAUGUUGAGAGGGGAACCUAGGUGAAGUAUGCCCUCGACUGUGAUUUCAUCAUUUUCAUGACAAUGUAACUCCUCCCGAGCCCUUGCAACCAACUCACUAAACGAUGGUUUCUCAUCGAAUAUGACAACCUCGUACUGCAUGCCAACAAACUUAACACAUCCAUAUUCAUCCCUUUCCACAGUGCCUCCGUAAUAUAUGCUCACUACGUUCUCCAUCUAGUAUAUCAAUAUAACGACGCACAAUUCAUUUAGUCCAUAAUAAAUUAAACAUUCUAAGUCUACUAAAUACAACUAACUAACUAUGUCACAUAUACUAACUAACUAUGACACCUAAUAUGUACCUACAUACUUACCUAUACAACUACUUAACUAAAUAUCGUAAUAACUAGUUUACUAUGCUAUUAGUUAUCAUAUCUAACAAUUUACUUAACUAAAUAUCGUAAUAACUAGUUUACUAUGCUAUUAGUUAUCAUAUCUAACAAUUAUAUCUAUCUGUCAACUUAUCUAUCUACCUAUUUUAUCUAACAAUUCUACCUAUCUAUCUAAAUUUUACCUAACUAUUCUAAUUUAUCAAUAUUACUAUUUUACCUAAACCUAUCUAUCUACAUUGUAUUACAACAAUUACCUUCGAUCGGUCGGGAGCGGCCACAGGACGGGGAGCGGCCGCCCUCAGGCAACGGCGGGCGGAGCCCGGCCGGAGGGCACCGGCGAGCGGGGAGGCGCGGCUCGGGCCGGGCGCCUCCGGGCGGAGCUGUGCCGGGGCGGCGCGCGGCAGGCCUCCGGGCGAGCCGACCGGGGUGGCGCGCGGCGAGCCGCUCCUGGCGCCGGGCGGGGGCGCGACGGGGCGGGCUGAGGCGGCGCGCGGGGGCCGCCGGGAAGCCGGCCGGGGGCGGCGCACGAGCGCCGACGGGGCGGCGCAGGCCGCCGGGCGGGCGGCGCGUGGGCGCGGGCCGCCGGGCGAGGCGGCGGCCGGGCAGGGCGGCGACGGCGCGUACGGCUCGGGCGGCGGCGGACUGGACUGGACUGGAGCGCGAUAGGUUGGUUUCGAGAUGCAAAAACAAACUGCCCAGAAGGAAGGCCGCCGAUAUGGUUGAAGGCUUGGCGCCAGGGAGGCUGGCGCCGAGCCUCGGCGCCAAGAUCUGUGGCGUCAAGUCUCGGCAUCACGAUCUGUGGCGCCAAGCCUUGACGCCACAGAUGCCUGACGCCAAGCUGAGGGUCCAUUUUCGGAAUUGGUUUCGCCAGGGGCUUAUUUGUGAGAUUUUUUCGCGAAAAGGAUAAACAAGUCGAAUCAAGAAACAAGUCCGCAACUAUUACAUCACCGUAUAGCACAGUUUAAUAAUCAAGAGAAUCAAAUCUAAGCUGUUUUCAACACAACAGCGUCGUACAACGCCACUACCACAAGCCAAACUCUGUUUCUCACCCUUCCUUGUCGUCGUGAUGCUAUGUUGGAGCUCGUGGGCGCGGAAGACAAAGCUGUACAGCUAGUGUUGUUGAUACGUAGACGUCAGCUGUGGAUUCGUCGAUGGCCGCGGACGGAGCGUCACCCAAAUCUUGCGCGGCGCCGUGGCAGUCUUCGGCCUGUGUCACGGACUCGUGGCCUCCUGCGCGCGACCGCGCGUGCAGCAGAAGUUUGGGCGCGGGACGGCAGGGUCUGGGCGCGGGACGGCAGGGUCUGGGCGCCAGCCGCGCGGGGUCCGGCCGUCCGGGGCUCCGGGGUUCGGGCGCAGGAGGCUGGGGCCUGGGGGUGGCCGGCCGGCGGCGGCUAGGAAGGAAAGGGGAUGAGGGACUGAGGAACGGAUGAUGGAUGGAGUGAGUCUAGGGUUUGGAAUUUCUCAGCUGGUUAUUAUAACCUCUCGUAUUGGGCCUCGUUUUGAUGGGCUGCUAGGCCGAAUUAUGAACUCCUGCUGAAAUUAGUCGGGGAUGCAGGGAGACGGGGACGGGGACGGGGACGGUGAAUCAUCCCAUUUAAUUCUCUGUGGGGAUCAAUUCC
Molecule: long non-coding RNA, 53814 nt
Filed under: Setaria viridis
Lineage: Eukaryota; Viridiplantae; Streptophyta; Magnoliopsida; Poales; Poaceae
Description: long non-coding RNA (SVIR_LNC000843)
Source: RNAcentral